AGUAGUAAAUAGUCUUAUUUCUUGCUUAAGUCUGCACUAUUAAGUGUUUCAGAGCAUAAAGAUGUGAUUCCUACACUUAUCUGGAUAAGAUCACAAAAGACCAACCUAAUUGAGCUGAAGUGCACCAGAACCUUAGAACACUAGUAAUAUAUACUGCUGUCUUUCAGAGUGUCAGUAGUAAAUGGUCUAACUUCUUGCUUAAUGCCCCACCGGUAAGUUUUUCAGAGAAUAAAGAUGGAAUUUGUACACGCAAUCGGAUAACAUCACAAAAGACCAACCUAAUUGAGCUGAGCACCCCUGUCAUUCGGGUCAAGGAGCACUGUCUAAUCGAGCAGGAAAACAAAAUGCUAGGGUGCUAAUCCCAUUCCCUAAUUAGCAUGAGGAUUGAGCUGAUUUAAUUACCAGCGGAUCUUCCAAUUGCUAAGCAGCUCCUCCUCCUUCGCCGCCGGCGCCGCCGGGGCUCCAUCUGUGCAGGCCGUCGCCGCUAAGGGUGGCGCGCGCGAGCUGCCGUUGGACGCACUUCCAAGCGGGCACCCUCCUCCUCACCGCCCGGAUCCUGGCCCUCCUCGCCGUCGCCUUGGCCUUGGCCACAAGUGACCGGUACCGGCGCACCCUCCACGCGAGGAUCCGGCGCUUCGCCGGCCUCUGGAGCACGCCGUGCGCGUCGUCGCCGCCGCCGCCGCGCCUCCUUUUGGCGCCCGGAUCCCUGCCCGAAUGGCUCGAGGAGACGGCGUCGCCGCCGGAGUCGAUGUCCAUGUCGGCUGCGGUGCUCGGCUCGGCGCGGUCCGCGGGGGCCGUCCUCCCGCCGGCCAGCCGCUCCGCCACUCUCAUUGCGCCGGCGAGGGCGAGCAGGCGCUUGGCGGAGCCGACGACGACCGCCCCCGCCGGCGCGCGGAGGAGGGCGUCCUCGGCCGCGCCCGCGCCCGCGCGGGGCAGGGCCUCGACCCUGGCGUAGAGGUUGCCGGCGCUGUCCAUCAGGCACUCCUUCCCGAGCAGGCUGACCGGCAGGGCGAGGAAGGCCGCGGCGUCCUCGGCCGAAUCCUGGAGGGGCGUCGGCGCGUCGGCGCCGACGAGGAGCCUCACGCCGAGCGGCGCCGUCAUCUGGAGCUCGGCGGGGCGGUUCCCCCUGAUCCGAUCGAUAGCUCGGCCAGCUUACCGAGGAAGGAAACCGUCUUUGGUUAGGCGCGAGCUGCUCUGUCUCUCCGCGUGCUAGUGCAGUGUGCUUGUUGUUAGAUAAUCCAAACAUAUUGGACGUGUUGAGUCCAGUUGGUAUAGAGCAGGAAGGAGCUGUCCGGCUGAACUGUGCAUACCAUGUAUGCACGAGUAGUACUAGUUGGUAUAGGAGGUGGAUUUGUUAGGAGUUUGCGUCCAAGAAAGUGUGCAAAAGUUUGGUCUCAUACAUGGCCAAGUACCGGUGGAGCAGCUCCCUUGAUCGACGCUCAAUGCACUGGUUGUCGUGGGAGGCGCUAGCACAGCCGAAGGCAAAGGGAGGGAUGGGAUUCCGGGAUUUGGAGAUGUUCAAUACUGCUCUUCUUGGCAAGCACGGGUGGAGAUUGAUCACGAAUCCCGACACUCUUUGCGCACGGGUACUAAAAGGAAAAUAUUAUCCUUCAUGCGAGUUUCUGCAAGCCACUAUUCCGAAACAUGCUUCUGUCACUUGGCGAGCGAUAAUUCAUGGAAGGAGAGCUUUGAACUCCGGCCUGAUCAAACGUAUUGGAAAUGGAACGACGGUUAAUAUAUGGACGGACAAGUGGAUUCCGAAUACUAUCAGGAUGUCUCCCGUUGCAAGGCUUGGGAACGCCCAGAUUAACACAGUUUCAGACAUUAUUGAUGCUGAUAAUUGGACUUGGAAAUCUGAAGUGAUCAGGGAAACUUUCAUACCACCCGAUGCAGAUGCAAUUCUUAAUACCCCCUUGAGAAGGGGAGGGGGUGAUGAUUACAUGGCUUGGGCUCUAGAAAGGAACGGGAUUUAUACUGUAAAGUUAGCAUAUCGAUCUCUAAUGAUUCAGAACGAGCAGUAUGCUCUAGAAGAAGGGACCAUCAUGGAAACUUCAGAGACAGAAAAACAGUCAUGGUCUCGGCUUUGGAAGCUGAAAGUCCUGCCCAGAGUACGCGUAUUUUGGUGGCGAGUAAUGCGAGGAAUCCUUCCAGUGGAGAGUACACUAACGUAUCGUCAUAUCUCAACGACUAGCAAGUGCAAAAUCUGCCUUAGUGAGGAGGAGGGUAUGAUGCAUGCCCUGUUAAACUGCAACCAUGCCAGGAGGUUCUGGACUGCAGCACCGGAUUUGUUGGGUGUUAAACGUCCGGAUUUACACCCACAUACUUGGAGAAAGGACAUUUUGUGUGACCCUAGAUUUUCAGAGGCUGAUAAGGCAAGAUUGGUAUCUAUUAUGUGGUCCAUUUGGACCUCCAGGAAUAAUCUUACUCAUGACAGGGGUACUCUUGACCCGGUUCAGUCCAUGAAGAUCAUUAGGGAGUCUUUGGCAGUGCUGGAAUUGCCAAGGGAGCAUGCCCGAACACUUCCAGGGCAUGGCUAACGUCCACCUGAUGAUGGGUGGAUAAAAAUCAACACUGACGGAAGCAUAGCUAUGGAAGCGCGGCGAGGAGGAGUUGGAGGCAUGGCUAGAUCUUCCACGGCUCUGAAAGCUGCCUGGUGUAAACAGUAUUCAAGUAUUACAUACCCUCUCGUGGAUGAAGCACUUGCAGUUCACGAUGGAGUUAUUUUUGCAAAGCUUCGGGGCUACGAGAAAGUUGUCAUUGAGACAGACUGUAUGGAGAUUGUUGAUCUCUGGAACUCGCGUCAGGCUCAUCGAGCAGUGGUGGCGCCUAUCUUGUCCGAGAUUGGGGAGCAUGCUUGUAGUUUUUCUUCUUUCAUUGUUCAACAUGUGUGUAGAUCAGCAAACUUUUCUGCCCACCUUUGUGCGAAGCAAGCUAGCACUUUGGAGGUUACAGAUUGCUGGUUAGACGUUAUUCCGAGUUUCCUUGUAACUAGCCUCCUGGCAGAUGAUGCUGGGGCGGUUGAUGUUGAAUAAAGCUGCCCAAAUUUCCCCGCAAAAGAAGUUGUUUUUUUUCAUCUUAUAAUACAUCUCUCAUUUAUAUCAUAAGGAAUAUUAUACAAUCCAUGCAUAUACUGACCUGAUAAGACUGAACAAAUAGCAAAACGCCGACCUUUGCUCCAAGGAGCAUCAGCCAACAAGUAAAACUAAGCUACUCAAAACAUAUCUCUUCACCCGCCACACUUUUCCAGUUUCGUUGGUGACACGACUUACCAAAUGAUGUGGCCCUUGGCUAUCGGUUUUUCGCGCGCCUGUGUUUGUGUGAUUUGAUGUGAUCGAUUCUGAGGGCGAAUUUCCAACACUUAUGUCUUAGACUCGGUGUGUGCCUGCACUCGCCACACUCAAAAGAAUGGAUGCCCUUUUUUCGACGCUACACACUCCGUUUAUUAUGGAAAAAAGCUUUUGAUUUAUUCAGCAUGGAAAAAGCUUUCGAUUUAUUCAGCAUCUUCAGGCAAGAAAUACUAGAAAAAUAUAAAUUACAUCGAGAUUCAUAGACCACCCAGCUAGGAUUACAAGCACUUGAGUGAGCCGGCGACGCGCCACCCCUCCCUCACCGGAGUUACAAGGUUACAAGAGUGUCCACACUCCAUUAAGACACACCCGAUGCAACACACACGCACACGCACACGCACACGCGCACACACACACACACACACACACAAAGUUGUCGCUGGAGAGGGCACCCAUGCCCUCUCACUCCGGACCGUGGAGCACCGAUUUUGCCUGCAGACAACAAGGACCGAGUGCGAUGCCAAAGCUAAAGGAGCUUCGAGAUAGGAUCCAAGCUCGCUCCACGAGAACGCCCCCAAGAGGGCGACGACGGAAUAGGACGACACCGUCAAGACCAAAACACAGUUGAGGGAGUCCUGGACUAAGUGGUCCUCGGGCUGCCGGCCUAUCUCACAUGGGCCGAAUAGUUGGGCCGCACUAUAUCCGGACCGCAGAUCUUUCUGUGCCUUGACGUACACCCCAAGUCAAGAUGGAACAUUCCGCGUCCUUGUUCCUUUGAUGUAAUAGACUACAUGUAAACCCUAGUACCCCUGGUGUCUAUAUAAACCAGAGGGUUUAGCCCGCAGGGGGAGAUCGAUAAUCCUACUAGCCUAGGGUUUAGCUCAUCUGAUCGUGUGGUAGAUCUACUAUGUAAUCCUCAUAUAAACAAGCAAUAUAAUCAAGCAGGACGUAGGGUUCGACCUCUUAGAGAGGGCCCGAACUUGGGUAAAUACCAUGUCCCGCGUCAUCUGUUCCCCAUCGAUCCUAGAUCCACAGUAUGGGACCCCCUACCCAAGAUCCGCCGGUUUUGACACCGACAUUGAUGCUUUCAUUGAGAGUUCCACUGUCGGAUCGCCAAAAGGAUCGAUGGCUCGCCUGAUCAUCAGAGACGGCGUUAGCACCGGAGACAUCUUCAUCCCCGGUCAACUUUUCUCGUUCGGCACUGCAUGCCAAUUCUGUCGGUCACCUCGACCAGGUCGAUAACUUCGCCUCUGAGCAUCAUAUCAAGUUCGGUAACCUAGAGUACACCACCGAUGCUCGAGGCGAUCUAAUCUUCAUCGGCUUCUCGGCCUUGCCCGAGAUGCCCGACAAUCUUGGAGCCUCGGCUUCUGGAUCCCCCCUCGGUCUGAUCAUUGGGUCGGCCGUCAGCGCGCAUUGGGAUUCAAACCCGGAUGCGGCCGCCUCUGAAGACCAAGAGUUAACUCUGGUCGGACGCACUCCCCCCACCUCGGGUCAGGUUUCAAGCCUCAAUACCGGUUCGGCACCCAUGGACUAGGAGACAGUCCUGGCCGGAUUCUCCCCCCUUGCUAUUGGUUCGACGUCAAGCCCUAACACCAGUUCGGCAUCCAAAGACCAAGAGUCAAUCCUGGCCGGAUUCACUCCUCUCCUUACCGAUGCACUAGAAGUCAAUUCCAAAGGAACCCUACACGCCGGCCCGACCAGCUUCGCCUUGAUAAACGAGGUGCUGGAUCGGAUCCAAGGGAUAAGCAUCUCAGACGACAUGUCCUCGGCUCGCGAGAUAGACCGCGGGGAAUUUUGCGUCCCACCCACUACCCACUUGGUGGACACUAUCGAAGACUUAACCGAUAUAUAUGCUAGGCUACGCCUCCGAGGAGGCCGAGGACAUGGACGAUGAUAUCGAACCGACAGUCCAUACUAAUACCCCUGCCAUCGGCCGAUGGACGACCGCCUCCCAAGGACAACGAUGAUGGCGCCAACAACGGCGAUGGCACCCCUAGAAGAGACAACAAGCCGGGAGAGGAGCCGCCUAAGUACCGACGGCAACGUCGGCGAUCCAAGGGAUGGAGGAGCAGGGAAACCAAUACAGACACCGGGGAGGAGCAUACCCCGGACAAUAUCGCAGACCUCGGCGACCCUACCCCCGAUAAGCAGUCUGAUGGCUCGGAGGAGCGUGAGGACAAGUUUGAUCCUGAUGACCUCAUUGACUCCGAGGGCAGUAACUAUCUUCCUCUUUCUGAGCAAGUGGACUUCAUCGUCCCGGAAGACCCGCUCGAUCAGGAGCGGUUCAAAAGGCAGCUCAUCGCCAUCGCACAGAGCCUCAAGAAGAUGUAGUAGCAGCUCAAGGCUGAACAGGACACCUUCAAUAACAGAUGGACAAAAGUCCUGGCAGCCGAAGAGGGGUACAGUUACGAGCAACAAAACAAAAGUUACCCAAAGAGGAAACUAUUGCCACAGUUCGACAACGAGGCCAUUGAACCUGUACCACCAAGACGGAUGCAAGGCAACCAGCCAGACUGCCCCCCUCGAGGCCGGGUUAGGCCAGCUAGAGAAGCCGAACUCCCACCCGACCCACCUCCCCAAAAAGGCAAGGAGGCAACGCAGCCCGAAUAUCAAUACGACCUGCGACAUGACUUAGCCACUAGAGCAGGCCAGUCAAGGUCCAUCUAUGGACAAAGAGGUUACCUUCCCAAUAGAAGAGACGAAUAUUAAGCAUGGCUCGACCGAAAUGAUAGAGUUCAUGAUCAACACCGGGCCAGGAUAUAAUCCAAGGUUCAACGCAAUGUGGACCGAAUAAGGGGCGCCACUCACCCAAUGUGCUUCACCGAUGAGGUGAUGCAGCACCAAUUCCCAGAAAGGUUUAAACCCGUAAACAUCGAGCCAUACGAUGGAACUACAGACCCGACUAUGUGGAUUGAAGAUUUCCUCCUCCACAUUCAUAUGGCACGAGGAGAUGACCUCCACGCCAUAAAAUAUCUGCCAUUGAAUCUCAAAGGACCAUCCCGACAUUGGUUGAACAGCCUCCUCGAAGACUCCAUAGGGAGCUGGGAAGAGCUAGAGGAUGCUUUCUGAGCUAAUUUUCAAGGAACCUAUGUACGGCCCCCAGAUGCCGAUGAUCUGAGCCAUGUGGUCCAACAGCCCGGCGAGUCAGCCUGACAGUUUUGGAAUAGGUUCUUGACCAAAAAUAACGAAAUAGUCGGCUGUCCGGACGCCGAAGCCAUAGCCGCAUUAAAACACAGUAUCCGGGACGAAUGGCUCGCGCGCCAGCUCGACCAAGACAAGCCGAGGACAAUGGCAGUGUUGGGGAACGUAGUAAUAAUUCAAAAAAAUUCCUACGUGUCACCAAAAUCAAUCUAGGAGAUGCUAGCAACGAGAGAGAGGGAGUGCAUCUUCAUACCCUUGAAGAUCGCUAAGCGGAAGCGUUACAAGAACGCGGUUGAUGGAGUCGUACUCGCGGCGAUUCAAAUCGUGAAAGAUCCGAUCCAAGCACCGAACGGACGGUGCCUCUGUGUUCAACACACGUAUAGCCCGGGGACGUCUCCUCCUUCUUGAUCCAGCAAGGGGGAAGGAGAAGUUGAGGGAGAACUUCCGCAGCACGACAACGUGGUUGUGGACCUCGUGGUUUCCGACAGAGCUUCGCCAAGUUCAACAGAGGAGGAGGAGGUGUAUGGGGAGAAAGGCUGCGCCAAGGGAAGAGGUGCGGUUGCCCUCCCGCCCCCUCUAUUUAUAGGGUGAAGGGGAGAGGGGGCCGGCCCCCUAGAUGCAUCUAGAGGGGGGGGGGGCGGCCAAGGUAGAAGCUUGCCCCCCCCCCCCCAAGUUGGUGGGGGGGCACCCCUUGGGCCCCUUGGCGGGCGCACCAGCCCACUAAGGGGCUGGCUCCUACUCAUAUUCAGCCCAUUUAGUCCCCCAGGGCAGGUGGCCCACCCGAUGGACCCCCGGACACCUUUGGGUGGUCCCUGUACAAUACUGAUAACCCCCGAAACCUUUCCGAUGACUGAAACUGGACUUCCCAUAUAUAAAUCUUCACCUCCGGACCAUUCCGGAACUCCUCGUGACAUCCGGGAUCUCAUCCGGGACUCCAAACAACUUUCGGUAACCAUAUACAAUUUCCCAUUACAACUCUAGCAUCACCGAACCUUAAGUGUGUAGAUCCCUACGGGUUCGGGAACCAUGCAGACAUGACCGAGACAUCUCUCUGGCUAAUAACCAAUAGCAGGAUCUGGAUACCCAUAUUGGUUCCCACAUGUUCCACGAUGAUCUCAUCGGAUGAACCACGAUGUCGGGGAUUCAAUCAAUCCCGCAUACAAUUCCCUUUGUCUAUCAGUAUGUUACUUGCCCGAGAUUCGAUCAUCGGUAUCCCCGUACCUCGUUCAAUCUCGUUACCGGCAAGUAUCUUUACUAGUUCCAUAAUGCAUGAUCCCGUGGCUGACUCCUUAGUCACAUUGAGAUCAUUAUGAUGAUGCAUUACCGAGUGGGCCCAGAGAUACCUCUCCGUCAUACGGAGUGAUAAAUCCCAGUCUCGAUUCGUGCCAACCCAACAGACACUUUCGGAGAUACGUGUAGUGCACCUUUAUAGCCACCCAGUUACGUUGUGACGUUUGGUACACCAAAGCAUUCCUACGGUAUCCGGGAGUUGCACAAUCUCACGGUCUAAGGAAAUGAUACUUGACAUUAGAAAAGCUUUUAGCAAACGAACUACACGAUCUUGUGCUAUGCUUAGGAUUGGGUCUUGUCCAUCACAACAUUCUCCUAAUGACGUGACCCCGUUAUCAAUGACAUCCAAUGUCCAUGGUCAGGAAACCAUAACCAUCUAUUGAUCAACGAGCUAAUCAACUAGAGGCUCACUAGCGACAUGUUGUGGUCUAUGUAUUCACACAUGCAUUACAGUUUCCAGUUAAUACAAUUAUAGCAUGAACAAUAGACAAUUAUCAUGAACAAGGAAAUAUAAUAAUAACCAUUUUAUUAUUGCCUCUAGGGCAUAUUUCCAGCAGUCUCCCACUUGCACUAGAGUCAAUAAUCUAGUUACAUUGUGAUGAAUCGAACACCCAUAGAGUUCUGAUGCUGAUCAUGUUUUGCUUGUGGAAGAGGUUUAGUCAAUGGAUCUGCAACAUUCAGAUCUGUAUGUACUUUACAAAUAUCUAUGUCUCCAUCUUUAAUAUAUUCACGAAUGGAGUUGAAGCGGCGCUUGAUGUGCUUGGUCUUCUUGUUGGCAAUGGCAAUAGCUCCAGUGUUGUCACAUAAGAGAUUCAUCGGGCCCGACGCAUUGAGAAUCACUCCUAGGUCGGUGUUAAACUCCUUCAUCCAGACUCCUUCCCGCGCUGCUUCCAAAACAGCUAUGUACUCCGCUUCACAUGUAGAUCCCGCCAUGACACUUUGCUUGCAACUGCACCAGCCGAUUGCCCCAUCAUUCAAAAUAUACAUGUAUCCGGUUUGUGACUUGGAGUCAUCCAGAUCUAUGGCAAAGCUAGCAUCGACGUAACCCUUUAUAACAAGCUCUUCGACACCUCCAUAAACGAGAAACAUAUCCUUGGUCCUUUUCAGGUACUUCGGGAUAUUCUUGACCGCUAUCCAGUGUUCCAUACCGAGAUCACUUUGGUACCUCCCUACCAAACUUAUGGCAAGGUUCACAUCAGGUCUGGUACACAACAUGGCAUACAUAAUAGAGCAUAUGGCUGAGGCAUAGGGGAUGACACUCAUCUUUUCUCUUUCUGCUACCAAGGCCGGGCAUUGAGCUGUGCUCAAUCUCACACCUUGCAAUACAGGCAAGAACCCCUUCUUAGAUUGACCCAUAUUGAACUUCUUGAAUAUCUUGUCAAGGUAUGUGCUUUGUGAAAGACCAAUGAGGCGUCUCGAUCUAUCUCUAUAGAUCUUGAUGCCUAAUAUGUAAGCAGCUUCUCCAAGGUCCUUCAUUGAAAAACACUUAUUCAAGUAGGCCUUUAUGCUUUCCAAAAGUUCUAUAUCAUUUCCCAUUAAUAGUAUGUCAUCCACAUAUAUUAUGAGAAAAGCUACAGAGAUCCCACUCACUUUCUUGUAAAUACAGGCUUCUCAAUAAAUCUGUAUAAACCCAAAUGCUUUGAUCAUUUCAUCAAAACGAAUGUUCCAACUCCGAGAUGCUUGCACCAGCCCAUAGAUGGAGCGCUGGAGCUUGCAUACCUUGUCAGCAUUCUUAGGAUCGAUAAAACCUUCCGGUUGCAUCAUAUACAAUUAUUCCUUAAGGAAAUCAUUAAGGAAUGUCAUUUUGACGUCCAUUUGCCAGAUCAUAGAAUGCGAAAAUUGCUAACAUGAUUCAGAUGGACUUCAGCUUCGCUAUGGGUGAGAAGGUCUCAUCAUAGUCAACUCCUUGAACUUGUCGAUAACCCUUAGCGACAAGCCGAGCCAUAUAGACGGUCACAUUACCAUCCACGUCAGUCUUUUUUUUAAAGAUUCACUUAUUUUCUAUGGCUCGCCGAUCAUCAGGAAGGUCCACCAAAGUCCAUACUUUGUUCUCAUACAUGGAUCGUAUCUCGGAUUUCGUGGCUUCAAGCCAUUUGUUGGAAUCUGGGCCCGCCAUCACUUCUUCAUAGUUCGAAGGUUCACCAUUGUCUAACAACAUGAUAUCCAGGACAGGGUUACCAUAGCAUUUUGGUGUGGAACAUGUCCUCAUGGACCUACGAAGUUCAGUAGCAACUUGCAUUACAAAAAAAUACACCUCCGUGAUGAUACAUGUUUUUCAUAGUAGGUCACGUUUUCUGUCAUGCAUGUACAUCCAUGACGAUUUUAUGACAGAAUCAAGAUAGUCAUACCUGUGCUGUGGUAGAAUUGUUCCAUGACAUUACCAAAAUUAUCAUCACGGAAGUGUCCACUUCCAUGACGAUAAAUGGCGUGUCAUGAAAGUGCUUUCGUCAAGGGUGACCGACAUGUGGCAUCCACCGUAACGGGUCACCGUUAAGCUAUCGUGUCCGGUUUUGGAUCUGAUAACCAGUUAACAGCCCUAAAAAAUGAGGAUUUUCCAUGUGUAAAAUUCUCAUUAGCCGGAGGAAACACAUGUUGGAUCACCAUUGGGACAUAUGUCAUCCACUCAUUGGACAUGAGGCGCCUAUGAUAGGUCGACACGUGGCACGGCCCAACAGUGGCCCAUUCCGGUGAAAAAGGCCGGCCCAGUAAAAAUUAGCAGGGCGGCCCAUAUAAGGCCUACUUGUGUCAGGUCCAUUUAAGCCCACGGGCCAUACGAGAUGUGCCAAUUUGGCCCGUCAACGGCCCGUGAAAGAUUUGACACCAUUGCAGCCUAUUGUCAGUUCGAGCUCGUUAACAGCCCGCUAUAUAUUUGCGCUCAAUAUCGGCCCGAUGUGAUUUUGGCCUGUUAACGGCCCAUUCAAGGGAUUGGCCAAUUUUUAGGAUGUACAUCUUUCGGCCUUUUAUCGACCCAUUUAAGUGUUGGGCUAAUUUCUGGCCCGGUGUGUCUUUCAGCUUGUUGACGGCCCAUAAUGAGUUGAGCCAUUUGUACUCGGAACUGAGUUUUGGCCUUUUAGCGACCAAGUGUUGGGCCAAUUCCAGGCCCGGUGUGCCUUUCAGCCUGUUAAUGGCCCAUGAGUUGGUCCAUUUGUAGUCGGACCUGAGUUUUGGCCUUUUAACAGCCCAUGCUCUUCAUGGUCCAAUACCAGCCCGGUUUCUCUUUCGGCCUGCUAAAGGCCCACAACACAGUUGGGCCAUUUACAGUAUGGCCCGACUUUCAGCCUCUCAGCGGCCCAUGCUCUCCAUGGUCCAGUACGAGCCCGCCAUCUCUUUCAGCCUGCUAAAGGCCCACAAUAUAGUUGGGCCAUAUGUGGCCCAACCUUAGUAACGGCCUGUUAACGGCCCGUGAAAUCAAAUGGACCCACCUGUUGCCCGCUUCAAUGUUGGCCUGUUAUGACCCGAGAGGUAAGAGGGCCGACCAUUAACUUUUGGCCUGGUAACGGCCCAUUAACUUAAUGGGCCCACUAAAGUUCGUAUAUGUCUUUAGGCCAAAUUAGAUAAUUUGAGCCCAUUACAACGGGCAAUUAUGCACAGGACCAAAACCGAUCAAGCAAAGGUACGACAUACAGGGAAAAACGUUGCACAUCCAGCAUAUAUUACAGGAAAUUACAUCCAAUGGGCAAUCAAAGAUUGAUGCCCGUGCAAAUAAAUGAACAGAACCUAAUGAUCUACAACGUCACAAUCUGCAACCUCAGCGCUGAUUACGCCCAUAAGCAUGUGGGCAAGUUCUUGCUGCUUUGCUACAUUGUCUCUGAAAACAUUGAUCAGUUGUUGUUGCGCAUGAAUGUGCACCUCUGAUUCCUCCACCAUUUCCAUAGUUGCUUCAGCCAUUAACUGGUUCACAAACACACAUUUUUUCUGUUGCAUCCAAGACAAAGGAAACUGAAUAGAUUCAAAUGGCAAUUUUGGCAGGCUUGUAUUAUUGAUAGUGGAGAGUGUAUCGACCACUGCAUCAUAACAUAAAUUAGGGGGGGAACCGAACAGAAUAAUCAUGAGUUAUUGCCAUAUUACCUGGCCUAGAUUUAUUGGAAAGAAACAAUGGGGUUGCCUUGCUGUGUUCAGAGUUUGUCUUCUUAUCUUCAGUAGCCUGCACCAAAUUAACACACUAGCAUUGCUAUCAUUGGCCAAGUCAGAUAAUAGGAAAGCAACAUUGACACAACAAACAUUUGGGCAACUAGCCUACACCAAAUCAACACAAUAUGGCACAGUUAUCAUUAGCCAGGUAAGGUAAUAUGAAAGCAACAUUGACACAAUGAAUGAAUGGGUAACCAGAGGAGCACUACAAUUCAAUAAUGUGCAUGAUAUGAGAUAGUACACUCAUGCAGCUCAGUAUGCAAAACUAUCAGGCAGUUUUCCUUACAAAAAUAAACAUUGGCGCCUUUAACAUUCUGCUACAACUAAUUUUAGAUCAGAUAAAGGUUGGAUUCACGCUGAUUAACAAAAUACAUGCUGAUGUAAUAAUAUAGUGAUAUACAACAGGUACUUACAUCAGCAUUGGAGCACAGAGAAUUCCCGCAAGAUAUUUUCCUCGAAUACGAUCCCAAUGGAGGAAGUCUUCUAUCAUUUAACCUUAUUUCUAAAAGAGAGAUGGGUAAGAAACAUGUAGAAAAUAUGAUCAGAAUGCUAUAAUAUUUCAUGAUGCGAGAAUACGCACACACUUCUUAGAAUGGAGUUGACAUUCUUUUGCUGGACUGGAGCGUAUUAGUUCUUUGGCCACUGGAAUCUGCUUAUUAUUAGUGGGAGUUGGGUUUCUCUGUGCUGGAGCAGUAUCUAUGAAAACUGGAGUUGGUUUAUUAUCUCCCGGCGUUUGGAUCUUUUGCAAAGACCUGGUUUGUAACCCUUCAGAUUCCAACAUAGCCGUCUUCCCCUUGCAUGCUUUAUAUAGAAGAAUGGUGCUUGAUGUCUACUACGCAACCUUCUUCUUGUAGACGUUGUUGGGCCUCCAAGUGCAGAGGUUUUUAGGACAGUAGCAAAUUUCCCUCAAGUGGAUGACCUAAGGUUUAUCAAUCCGUGGGAGGCGUAGGAUGAAGAUGGUCUCUCUCAAGCAACACUGCAACCAAAUAACAAAGAGUCUCUUGUGUCCCCAACACACCCAAUACAAUGGUAAAUUGUAUAGGUGCACUAGUUCGGCGAAGAGAUGGUGAUACAAGUGCAAUAUGGAUGGUAGAUAAAGGUUUUUGUAAUCUGAAAUUAUAAAAACAGCAAAGUAGCGAGCGAUAAAAGUGAGCGUAAACGGUAUUGCAAUGGUAGGAAACAAGGCCUAAGGUUCAUACUUUCACUAGUGCAAGUUGUCUCAACAAUAAUAACAUAAUUGGAUCAUAUAAAUAUCCCUCAACAUGCAACAAAGAGUCACUCCAAAGCCACUAAUAGCGGAGAACAAACGAAGAGAUUAUGGUAGGGUACGAAACCACCUCAAAGUUAUCCUUUUUGAUCUAUCUAUUCAAGAGUCCGUAGUAAAAUAACACGAAGCUAUUCUUUUCGUUCAAUCUAUCAUAGAGUUCGUACUAGAAUAACACCUUAAGACACAAAUCAACCAAAACCCUAAUGUCACCUAGAUACUCCAUUGUCACCUCAAGUAUCCAUGGGCAUGAUUAUACGAUAUGCAUCACACAAUCUCAGAUUCAUCUAUUCAACAAACACAAAAUACUUCAAAGAGUGCCCCAAAGUUUCUACCGGAAAGUCAAGACGAAAACGCGUGCCAACCCCUAUGCAUAGAUUCCCAAGGUCACAUAACCCGCAAGUUGAUCACCAAAACAUACAUCAAGUAGAUCACGUGAAUAUCCCAUUGUCACCACAGAUAAGCACGACAAGACAUACAUCAAGUGUUCUCAAAUCCUUAAAGACUCAAUCCAAUAAGAUAACUUCAAAGGGAAAACUCAAUCCAUUACAAGAGAGUAGAGGGGGAGAAACAUCAUAAGAUCCAACUAUAAUAGCAAAGCUCGCGAUACAUCAAGAUCGUAUCACCUCAAGAACACGAGAGAGAGAGAGAGAUCAAACACAUAGCUACUGGUACAUACCCUCAGCCCCGAGGGUGAACUACUCCCUCCUCGUCAUGGAGAGCGCCGGGAUGAUGAAGAUGGCCACCGGUGAGGGAUCCCCCCUCCGGCAGGGUGCCGGAACAGGGUCCCGAUUGGUUUUUGGUGGCUACAGAGGCUUGCGGCGACGGAACUCCUGAUCUAUUGUUGUCCUCGGUGUUUUAGGGUAUAUGGAGAUAUAUAGGCGAAAGAAGUCGGUCAGGGGAGCCAUGAGGGGCCCACGAGGGUGGAGGGCGCGCCUAGGGGGGGUGGGCGCGCCCCCCUGUCUUGUGGCUUCCUCGUUGCUUCCCUUACGUGCACUCCAAGUCCCCUGGAUUGCUUCCGUUCCAAAAAUAACUUUCCCAAAGGUUUCAUUCUGUUUGGACUUCGUUUGAUAUUCCUUUUCUUCGAAACACUAAAAUAGGCAAGAAAACAGCAAUAUGGGCUGGGCCUCCGGUUAGUAGGUUAGUCCCGAAAAGUGAUAUAAAAGUGUAGAGUAAAGUCCAUAAACAUCCAAAACAGGUAAUAUAAUAGCAUGGAACAAUAAAAAAUUAUGGAUACGUUGGAGAUGUAUCAGUGCUUCAAUUAUAAACAUGCUACAAUAGAGAUGGAAUAUGUACUGAAGAAUAGAAAUGCAUGACAUAUUGGCAUGUAUUCCCUCUAUCCAGAAAUAAAUGGAUGGGCCUAGGCGUAUUUCAGUUCUAGAUACAUCCAGUUUUAUCCAUUUCUGCGACAUGUAAUCCGGACAGAGGGAGUAUGAUGUAAGAGCUAGGGAUAUGACAGGACAACAGUGUAAAAAACACUACUUGAAUGUAAAACUAUAUGCUAGCGGAAUACAUAUAGAAAAACACUAAGGCAACAUAUGCAUGUAUGAUUGGGAAACUAAGAUGGCAUUGCAAGAGACCACUAGAACAACACUUCAAUGUAAAAAAAAAGAACAUGGUAUGGUAGACAGAUGAAUUACAUAUUGAUGAAUAACAAUGCAUAAGAUAUUCAGAAGCAUGAUGUCCAAACUAAGCAGAUGGCAUUGCAAUAGAGUAGAAUGAUAGUACUUGAAUUUGAAAACAUGUUAUCAUGAAUGGAAUAGGUACUGAAAAACAGGAAGGCAUGCCAUAUUUACAUGCAUGAUCAGCAGGCUAAGCAAAAGGCAUUGCAACAGAGUAGAUGCACUCCAGGACAUUAUAUGCAUGUUGUACCCAUAUCAAGGGCCAAGUAAGAGCAAGGACCUUGUGGGGUGAAUAGGAUUCAUCAUCUUUUUGCAAGUCUUGUGAAGAACUGCCUUUACAUGUUCCAUCAUAUUGGGUAUCAUUGACGUCAAGUUUGUUGGCCGUUACAUUGCUCCAUGAGGUUCUUGUGCAUAAAUCAGUGUGUGCAAUUAUAUCUGACAUGCAUGGAAGACAACUAGUAGUUUGAUUUAUGUAAUGAGUGCCUGUUGGAGACGACAUAAAUAGUAGGACCGGGGCUAACUAGCAGCAACAGGUCUCAAAAACUAAAGGAAGAACACAGAUGAAAGCUACAGAAUAUGUAUCAUUUGUACUCGAGAUUAACUAGAUGGCACACAAAAGUAUUAAAGAACAACAUAGGUAAUACUAGAAGUGAUAUAGUACUAUAAUCACCAGCCUGUGGGAUAGCACUGGCUGAUGGAUGAUAACUAUGGAACAACGUUACCUAAAGAACAAGUCUCUUAGCUGAACUAUGGAACAACGUUAACUCCUGAACAAGACUCAUAAGAGAUCAACAUGAAUAUACAGUGAAAUGUGGUAAUCUAUUUCCCAUGCUUAGAUGAAUAACAAAGCCAUAAAUGUUGCACACAAGUAAGAUGAGGGUACAACCUAUCUGUUCGCCAUCCCUAGGAGUGAGCAUCAUGUGCUAACUUGUCGAUGGCCCUGCAGUUGUUGUGGCUGUCCAUGUCGGGCACGUGCAAUCGAUGCAGAGAACUGUUGAGUGGGGACUAUAGCUCCCUUCUUGUGUAUGCUUCCCUUUUUGGAGCAACUGCGGUGAGUCGGAAGACGGUGUGGCCGAAGAUGCAGAAAACACAUAAUGUUAAGAACGACGCAUCUCUUUGAUCUGAAGAAAUACCCUAAGAGAUCAACAGCAAGGUACGAGAGUGGUCACACGUCUUUUGACUGAAGACUAAAUUGGGGUCACAUGAUUUUAUUUUAUUUUGGUACUGUCCGAUCUAUGCCGGAUGGCUUGAUGGCCGUCUUGUGCCUCCCGGGCCGGCUGACACUAUUUGGAAUCUUCCCCAAAGAGCCAGCAACCAACGGCAAAGCAGCAUGCCUCCGCCGUCCCUGGCCCCGACCAAAACCCCGCUCCCUGCCCCACCGCACUGCCGUGGUUGCGCCGCCCCCGGGACAAUCCACAAAGACUCGUCAUCCAGAUCCGGCAGCGGCAGUACCUUCAACCCAUGCAACUCUAAGAUAGCAAAUCUACGGUGAACUUGCGCCCCCACACCCUUAUGUUAGACACCAGCCAACUGACAGCCUAGGAGCUCCGCCGCCUCGAGGGGUGCUGCUUACCAUUGGCAAUCGAUUGACCCAGAAUAAAAUCAGACAACUGACGCCUAAAUAAAGUGAUUUGAGAUGAGGGUGCGACCUAUCUGGCGGCAUGGUGAAGUAGUCAGAUCCAGCUGUCGAGUCGGUGAGGCCGGCGCGGUUGCGGUGGCGACCGGCGGCAGGGAAGCAGAGAUGUAACGACGGUCGACGACUACGGGGAAGCAGCGCCGGGGCUCUGGACGGAUCUGAAGUUGGAGCCGCUUCGACACCGUGAACAACGACGGGCGUGAAUCUGCUACGUAUGGUUCACGCGGUCAUCAUCGAGGCAGCUCCAGCAGCACAGAGUAAGAGGCACACGACCCAGUGCACGACGACAAAUGGAUAGCGUCUCCGGCAUUAGGGAGGAGGGCGGCUGUGAAUUUGGUGCAGUGGGGGCGCCAUGGAGGAGGUGCUGAGGUUUCGUGGCUCGGGAGAAGGGGAGCUUCCGGGGAGAAGGUGAUUUGGCGCCCACGAGGUAUGAAUGGGGAGGUAAUUGGGAGGGGAGUGGAACCAUGUCUUACGGGCGCAUUUGUCUGAAAUGUGGGAGGGAGUUACAAUUCUACCCCUGCCUUUAGGCUUCUCGGCUUGGGUCUGUGUACUGAGGGUCGGGGAUAGUAGAGUAACUUUGCUUCUCCCCAAAUAGUGGGCGCGAGCGAUUUCAGGCGAGGAGGGCGUGUUUUGAAAUAUAGUGGGCGCGAGCGAUUUCGGGUGAGGAGAGCGUGUUUUGAAAUAGUGGGCGCGAGCUAUUUCGGGCAAGGAGAGUGUGUUUUGCCGACCAGGGUUUAUGAAUUAUUCGGCACAUGUCAUUUCGGCCGAGGAGAAGGCGCGCUUGGAUGAAGUUACGAACCUACCCUCGAUGUACAACAGGCCAAUUUAUGCGUGUCCCACAUAGGCCGGUAAUUUGGCAUCUCCCAUUUAUUUGCUCGGGCGAAAUCCACCGAGCAGAGGGUGUUUAACAGUUUGUUCAAAUUUUGGGAGAGCGAGCAUCCAGGUCUACCUUACCAAGUCGAUUCGAUCAAAUUUUGAAAUAUUAGCUUGCCAUUUCUUUUUUAGAUGGAGAGAUGAUGCUCGAGAGCAAUGUGUUUUUACAUGCUCGUUGCUAGCGAUUUACUAUAUGACAAAUAGUUGACCCACUAAAAAACGGGAAUCAAACCCAAAUAUCUCGAUUCAAUGAAAUAGCUCGUUCACCAGGUCAAAAUAGUGAACUAAAUCCAAAAUUGAAUACCUUAAUCCAAUAGCAUGUUGUACAGUAUUAUAGUAUUCCAUGAACAUGUUGAAAGUCAAAUUAAUGAACUUGUUUGAUAUACGCAUAUCUCCGUUCAUGUGUGGAUUGCAGACAACAUGUUCUCCAAUUUAAAUAUUUGAAUGCAAGUUUAUAUCGAAACAUGGUUUAUAUCAGUCUUUAUGCAUAAAACAUGACCUCCCCCUCUCUUGGACUCCUGCUCUCUCUCUCUCUCUCUGACAAUCUUCAAUUCUGUCGCACACAUCCAACACACAAACCUUGUUGGUCCCUCUCCCUCCCUCUCCAUCUCUCUCUCUCUUUGUGUGUGUGUGUGGGGGGGUCUUUCUAGUUCGCAUGCAUAUAUACUCCAUCUAUAGGUCUCUCUCGCACACUAUGUAUGAUUCUCUAGUCCAAGCUAAAUAUCUUGGGUGCACUCAUCGUACGCUGACAAAUUUCUUGGCUCGUUGCCCGUAACUCUCUCACACACCACUCUGUCGUCUCGGAGCUCUUCCCUCUCUCUCUCAAACUCUCCAUCUACCUGGGUCACACAUACACAUGCAUAUCUCACUCGCACUCGAUAGACCCAUUGAAAACUCUAUCUCUCUCCCUUGUUCUCUCUCCAUCUCACACGCACACACACACACAAUGUCAUGCGUAGCCAAGUAUGAUGGUCUCUCACUCAACUGUAGGCACAUGCUGUCCCCCCUAUAUGUAUAUGACUAGCUAAUCCUAGUCUCCAUCACAAACAUGUGCAUGGUCUAUCUUGAUUUCUCUCUCGGCAUCUUUCUAUCGCGCACACACCUCCCUCGAUCUCCCACCCAUAUAGCCCCCUCACGAUCUCGAGGGGAUCUCUCUAUCACAAACACACCCUCUCUCCCUCCCCAUGCGUCCAUGUUCUCCAUGUGUCCCUCUCGACCUUUGUUCCUUGUUGGCCAGACCUCUAUUGGGCAUGUGCUAUAGGGGUGUCUCUCUCUGUUGCGAACAAUCACACACUAGCUAUCUUCGUGUAUCUCAUCACCUCACUUUUCUAUCUCAGAGAUGCAUGCGUGAUAUGUUUGCAUAAGAAAUCAAAAAAACACACACUCUCUCUAAUUUAUCGCUUGUUGUCACUAUCUUUCACACACAUACUCUUUUUGCACACUGACUCAUUCUCCUUCACACACACUUGAUCUCUGUCGACUUAGGCACUCUCUUCGGUCCAUAGCAUAUAGAUUUAUUGAAAAGUCAAACAUCACAAAGUUUGACCACAUACAUGGAGAAAAACAUUUACAUCUAGAACAACAAACAUAUACCAUUAAAUUCACCAUGAGAUGUAGUUUCGUAUGAUGUAUCUUUGGUAUUGUAGAUAUAAAUAACAUUUGCGUAAACCUGAUCAAAGUUUCCAAAGUUUGACUUCUAAAAAAUUUACAUGCACUGCAUUAUCGAGCGGAUGGAAUAUCUCUUUCCCCAUCUCAGUUAUCUGACGCACCACUCAGCCUUAUCGGGGCUCCUAUAUCUCGCUUAAACUUUAUAUCUCCCUGGUUCACACAUACACAUGUCUCGCUCGUGCUACAUAUAGACCCAUUCAACACUCUUUGCCCUUGUUAUCUCUCUAUGUGACACGCACCCCCCUAAGUACCAUAAUCCCUCACUCCAUCAUAGGCGCACGCACUCCCCCCUAAGUAUGAUUAUCUCUCACUAGCCAUCAGGAACACACGUAUUGUCUCCUUCCAUCCAUACGUCUAUCUCGAUAUCUCUCUGGGUAUCUUCUAUCACGCACACACCUUGUCACGUGAUCUCCCACCCAUGUAGUCCCAUCACGAUCUCCAGGGGAUCUCUAUGACAAACAUACACUCUCUCCUCCCCAUGUCUGCAUUUUCUCCAUACGUCUCUCUCGACCUCUCUCCCUUGUUUGUCAGACCCCUCUUGGCCACGUGCUAGGGGUCGUUCUCUCUCGGUUGCAAACAACCACACACUAUCUCCUCACCUUGCUUCCGUUGUCGAAGAUGCAUGUGUGAUAUGUUUGCAUAAGACACACACGCUUUUUCUCUACUUUUAUCGUGUGUUGUCCAUGUCUCUUUCACACACGCACACACACUUUUUUCACUCACUCUUUAUAUUUUACUCUCUCUCUCUCUAGUUAGUGACUCUCUCACGUCCAUAAGCAUAUGGAUGUUUCGAAGAGUCAAACCUCAGAAAACUUUGACCAGGUAUAUGUGGAGAAAAACAUUUACAUCUGGAAUGAUCAUUAGAUUCAUCACAACAUGUACUUACUUCAUACUAUCAUUUAUCCUUGGUAUUGUAGAUAUAAGUAAUUUCUUUAUAAACUUGGUAAAAGUUUCAAAAGUUUGACUUUAAAAAAAAUGUUGGCACUACAUUAUCGAACGGAGGGAGUAGCUCUUUCUCUCUCUCUCUCUGCUAUCUCUCACGGGCCUCCCCUCUCACUUGAACUCUCUAUACCAACGAAUUAUAUGCUCACUGUGUAGCUCCAUAUAUUGUUUAGUUGACCGGUCAACCAGUCCACAUGCUGCCUUGUCAGCUCGUGUUCUCUAUCUUCGUGUGCUGGCCCAUGUGGCAGUGGGUGAAAAUAAGUAAACUAGAGGCCCAUCUAACAUGCGGUGAAGUAAACAAAGUUGAAACCACUCAAGGUAGCACCCCACACGCUAGUAAAUUUAGGGUGCAUUGAGGAUACACUUCUUCCGCGUGAAGGACGCAUUCAUGCACAAUUCACCACUGCGCGGCGGCAUGCACAGAAGGACGCACUCGCGCACACCCAAUAGGCCCUCCACUAUGUAGGCCAAAACACGUGCCAAAUUCACUUGUGAUGCAUUUGGCAUCGAUGCCCCUCUAUUGCUCACCUGGUGCCCCAAUCUGGAUCACCUACUUUGCUCCGGUGCCAAAUUAACUCACACAAUGAAAAAAUACUUGCAUGGGAGAGAGAGAGAGGACUGAGGCAAUAAAAAACACUUGUUUGGGAGAGUGAGAGGCUGGUGUAGUUGGUUUGAUUGAUUUGUUUAUACAUGUGGGUUUGUAUGUAUAGCGGUGCCAACUCUCUCACAUUGCGAGAGUGGUGCCAAAAUCUUUUGAUUUGACAUCGAUGCGUAUUAUGUGGCAUACUUUUGAGAAAUAUGGCAUCAACCACAUAGUGGAAGGCAACGAAUUCCCAAGCUCUUCACGUGCUCCUAGGUAAAUGAGAGGAGAGAGAGAGAGAGAGAGAGAGAGAGAGAGAGAAAUAUCACUAGCCAGCCAACCCUAUCGUAUGAGCGAAUGAUAUUGGUACCUCUUGAUGACACAACAAUCUUAUACAACCAGCUUCUCUAAUAUGUUCUCUUCUUUUGCAGAUCAAAAAAGACCCGAAAGUGAAAAAUGUGUUGCACUAUAACAAUCUCAUCGAAUGCCUUGAUCUCCAUUUUACAGAAAUUGAUUUGACCGACUACCGAGGUAGCACAUCUGAGAUUAAAUUGGCCAGGUUCUUUGUUCUAGAGGCAAGUGUGCUCAAGGUAGUGAGGUUUGGCGUUCUUUGGUGCAACAAUGAAUGGCGUGCUGAUCACCGCAAGCGUCUAAGCCUAAAUGACAAAGUCUCCGCAGAAGCUGUAUUUGUUUUUGAAACAUCAAGUGGCCAGAGACUCGAAAAUUUAGUUUCCCAUUAGUGACUUGUAAGGGCGGUGGAUUUUAGUCUGUACGAUAAUGCUGCAUCCACCUAAAGUAACGAAAGUUCUUAUGUAAACUUCCUAGUAAGUCCCUCUUCAUAGGUGCAACAUUACUCCUAACAUUUGUAAUAUCAGUUUGAAACUUGUAAUAUUGCCAGGUCCUAUUCCUGCAUUUUCAAAAUCCCGCGAAUCAAAGAGGUCCUGAGUUGGUGACGAUGUUGUGCCUGCCAUCUUUCACCAAUAGUCAUCGGAUAUAGAUCCGACGCAUACAAACCAAACUUCUCUAGUUUUGCAAAAAGAUGCCGGUACUUGUUCCCUAUUUACAAAAAACUCAUUGUCUCUCACAAUUAGCCUUAUCUCCUCCCCACCACAUCUAGAAGGCCAUGGAAAAAUCUGGCGCGAUGGCCGCUGCCGGCGCCGUCCACCCCCAAUCUUGGUGUUUCGUGCAAUGCACGGGCAUCUACGCACGGGAAAUUAUGUCGAACACGGCUAGUAGUAAGCAGGCUAGCUCUACAGCCAUGAUGAUAGUGAUUGCAGACGGUGAGGCUGACUAUGGUAUGCCGAACACGGUGCCUAUACUCAGGUGUCAUCUCCGGCGUAGGGUCUUGUCACUUCACUGUGAGGAGCAACACGUAAUAAUUUGACCAACGAGUAGUACAGUGCUACUACAUUGGUAGUACUACUACUAGUACUAGCACCACCGUCUGGAUUUAGUAGUACUACCACGUCCAUCUGGGUUUAGUAUUUGACUAGCAAUAUCUAGGAAUGCAUGUCACAAAAAAUGUACUACUUCCUUUGUAAAUAAAUACAUGGUUGUAUUGUUUUAUUCCUAUCAGCGAGAGAACUUAAUGUAUUUUUGCUAAUUAAUAGGAUUACAUGCAAUGAACUAACCACUGCAUGUCAUGUUUGGUAGUCUCAAGUCAUUGACAGCCUGCACGGCCCACAUCUCUCAUUGUUUGAUAUGUCACGGAAUAAGAAACAAGGAGGGAGUUAAUGUACCAUGCCUAAGUGUUUUGGGAUUAUUUGGUUUUCGUUAGGUGACUUACAAAACAUUUUUUGUUACAUGCAUUAACAUUUUAUUAGUUAAAUCAAAGGUCAAAACUUGGCACAAAAUGCAAUGGGGACCAAUAAACCAGUAAACAUCAAAGUUCUCUCGUUUGGCCCCAACUAGAGGUCCGGUGAGAUGACUAUACUACACCAGCAUUUAGGGGGACACAACUUCAUUGACUUACUGCACCUGCCUUUGGGUGUAUGACACGUGGUCCCAACGGGUGGCUGGCCCACCUGUCAUACAACCAAAGGCAGGUGCAGUAGAGGGCCAAGGAGUGGAUGGCUAACAGGCACAUGAAUUCAACACAGUCUGCGCUUCUCAUAUAAAGGCUCCCCGCCAGUCCAAUCUACAAAAUCCUAUGCACCUACACACCCUAACCAAGGGAAAGAGUGAUCACUCCAAUCGCAAGAUUAGUUGACUAGAAGCAAGACCCAUGGAGGCGAUGAGCGCGAGCAUCAGCCGGCUGUGCCAGAUGGUCCACAACACCGUCCUGUAGCCCGGCACCGAGGAACAUCUCCAGGUAGUGCUUGAGGCCGCCAGGGCGAGGGGCCGCUUGGACGAUAGCUUCAUUUCCUUGUUCGAUGAAGUCCUCGUUGGCUUCCUCGACAAGUUCACCAUCGUCAAGAAGCGCCCGGACGACCUUGGCGUAUGCCUCCAGCCCACGCGCCCAGGCUCUGUGAUGCCUGCCACCCUCAACGGCCUCUAUGGUGGCAACCUCUUCGACACACUGGUGGCCCUGCGACUGCCCGCCGUCGUGCCGGAGAAUGUCCACCUCGAGGUUGCGCUCGCCGCGCAGCACCUGGCGCAGCAAGACACCAUCAACAUAAUCACCCAUGUCUACGUGCAAAUCAUCCACAAGGACUACUACAUGCAAGAGGAGGACGAUAAGACGCUGGCCUUCUUGGACCGCAGGGCAACCUUGGACGGCAUUGUUCAGAAGCACGUUGAGCUCGCCUCCAACGCCGCUGCUCCUCAAACAUCGAUUGGUGACCCGGCACACUAGGGUGUGAGGAUGUCGUUGAUGGAUCCGUAUGUAUUUUUAUCUUUCCGUAAAAUCCAUGUAGUAAUAUAUGGUACUACUAGUAAUUAUCUUACCUUUCGCAUCAACUUCAUAAUUUUCGUACGUACUCCAUGCUUGAACCGCUCCAGAACCAAACUUCUCAUUACUCUAGGGAAAAUUGUUAUUUCUAUCUAUCGGUCGCACCAUGGAGCAGAACCAAAUUUUACAAGUUGCAAGUUCAAAAGGAAAAGCUUGUCAUGUUCGCGUCGCACCCCCACAUGGUUGGUCUGGCACGCCGCUCAAGGGGGAAUGUGUGCUGUGUUGCAUUUUCACUUACAAGUGGGACCGCAGUUGAGCAAACCGACUAUCGGCAAACCCCCACCCCGCCCACCGUGCAAUGGCUGAGAAAACGGGAGGGAGAAGAGAUGGCUGUAGCACGGACUCCAAGAAAAUUGGUGUCGAAUGGGACUCAUGUGAGUGGCAUGUACCGUACUGCUAGACGUGAAUGCUAGUUAUGGCCCAUGCCACCCCACUAUAUCGAGCCUAUAUCGAGGUGCUGGUUAUGUAGAACAAAUUUCCCGGAGUCCGUGCUCAACCCUCCUCUAUCUCUCUUCUCAGCUAGCCAGCAGAUGCAUGGAGCCCAUCGUCUGUUUGCUCAUAUGCAGUCCCACAUGUUAGUGAAAAUGCAAGAGGACCCACUGAACCUACGCAUAUUUCACUUGGACGUGCUGGUGAUGAAAAACAAAUCCAAUAAAGAUCUUCGGUGGCCUCUUUUGGAGUUACUCAAGAGUAGUAAGAUUAUAUUUACAGUUUAACCCAAGAUGCACAUCACGUGGCUUCAACUACCACUCUAUUUUCUUGCAUGACACGACCUGGAUGCUGGAUGUCCCACGUGUCAGAAAAAGGAGGAAGAACUCGACCAAACCUUCGGUUGUGCUCUCGGAUUAGACUAGUUGUGCUAACUUAAAAUUUUAUUGUGUAGAAUGGAUGCAAGUUUUGGUAUUGGGAAUUAUAGUACAUCGAUAUAUUGAUAGAUCGCAAUUUAAUAGAUGUUCUAGCACUUUUAGCUAGCAUAGAGGUUAGAGAUGAGACUAGUGCACUUGUUGAUAGAAUAGAGGCUAGGCAUGAGACUAGAUGCGAGGAAGCAACGUCUACUUCUUUACACUCGAAGAAGAAAGAAGCACGCAAGAUCGAGCCUCCGCAGAUCAACAAUGAAUGCAUCGAGAAGGCACUAAUCCAACUUACAGGAGCAGUUAUGGAAGUUGGAUAGUAUCUUCUAAAAUGUAUUCUUGUGGUUCUUGUUUUCUCUGGUCUUGCUUUUCUAGUCAAAUUUUGGUGAUGUAUUUCCAUGUACCAAAAAUCAAUGAUGAAAAAAGAUAUGUGUUUGCAAAGAAAAAUGUACACGGUCGGGAUGCGUCCACGUGUUGGGCGCACGACCACCGCAUCCGAGAAAUGGCCCGGACACGACUCCAUUGCCCUACCCAAACAGACAUAAUCCAGGCAAAAUGGAGUUCUGUUUGGGGUCGUCCGUUGGAGUUGGCCUUACAAGUGGGACCGAAGUUGAGGAAACCGGCUAUCGGCAAACCCCACCUCGCCUGCCGCGGAUGGCUAAGUUAGAGAAAUGACGAGGUUGAAGAGAUAGCUGUAGCACGGACUCCAAGAAAUAUGGUGUCAGAUGGAAGUCCUGCUGGUGGCGUGUGCCGUACUCCUGGACGUGAAUGCUUGUUCUAGCCCAUGCCACCCUACUAUAUAGUAUCGAGGAUUCGAGGUGCUGGUUACGUAUAGCGAACACAUUAACACAUGGCCCACCUCACACCGUGGCCAAAUUUCCUGGAGUACGUGCUAGGUUAAAAAGUGUUCUUUGUGAGGGUGGGUGGCUGGUCUCAAGUUUAAAACUUGUUGUAUUACGUAUGCGUAGACGUAGAGAUAGUGUAGCAGUUUUGAAAGUUUGAACCCAAACAUCAGAAUGCAAUUUCUACUGGACUCAUCCGAGGACCUAGGAUGAUGGGAUUCGCAGCUACAGUAAAAACACCCCCCGAUGUGCGAAGCAUGCGAAGCUAGUACAAAUAGUAGUACUAUUGUUGAUUGGCCUCAUCCGAUAACCUGUUGCAUGAUAAGUCUCUAAUGUAUCUAUAAUUUUUGAUUGUUUCAUGCUAUUAUAUUACCUAUCUUGGAUGUUUAUGGGCUUUACUAUACACUUUUAUAUCAUUUUUGGGACUAACCUACUAACCGGAGGCCCAGCCCGAAUUGCUGUUUUUUUGCCUAUUUCAGUGUUUCACAGAAAAGGAAUAUCAAACGGAGUCCAAAGGGAAUGAAACCUUUGGGAGCGAUCUUUUUGGAACAAACGGAAUCCAGGAAACUUGGAGUGGGAGUCAAGCAGCAAAUGAGGCAGCCACGAGGGUGCCCGGUGCGCCCUAGGGGGGGGGUACCCCCCUACCUCGUGGCCCCCUCGUUGCUCCAACGACCUACUUCUUCCUCCUAUAUAUACCUACAUACCCCAAGAACAUCCAGGAGCACCAUGAAAAACUAUUUCCACCGCCGCAACCUUAUGUAUCCGCGAGAUCCCAUUUUGGAACCUUCGCCGGUGCUUCGCCGGAGGGGGAAUCGACCACAGAGGGCCUCUACAUCACCACCAAGGCCUCUCUAAUGAGUUGUCAGUAGUUUACCACAGACCUUCGGGUCCAUAGUUAUUAGCUAGAUGGCUUAUUCUCUCUCUUUGAUUCUCAAUACAAAGUUCUCCUCGAUCUUCUUGGAGAUCUAUUCGAUGUAACUCUUUUUGUGGUGUGUUUGUCGAGAUCCGAUGAAUUGUGGGUUUAUGAUCAAGUUUAUCUAUGAGAAAUAUUUGAAUCUCCUCUGAAUUCUUUUAUGCAUGAUUGGUUAUCUUUGCAAGUCUCUUCGAAUUAUCAGUUUAGUUUGGCCUACUAGAUUGAUCUUUCUUGCAAUGGGAGAAGUGCUUAGCUUUGGGUUCAAUCUUGAGGUGUCCUUUCACAGUGACAACAGGGGCAGCAAGGCACGUAUUGUAUUGUUGCCAUCAAGGAUAAAAAGAUGGGGUUUAUAUCAUAUUGCUUGAGUUUAUCCCUCUACAUCAUGUCAUCUUGCUUAAUGCGUUACUCUGUUCUUUUGAACUUAAUACUCUAGAUGCAGGCAGGAGUCGGUCGAUGUGUGGAGUAAUAGUAGUAGAUGCAAAAUCGUUUCGAUCUACUUGUUGUGGACGUGAUGCCUAUGUACAUGAUCAUGCCUAGAUAUUCUCAUAACUAUGCACUUUUCUAUCAAUUGCUCGACAGUAGUUUGUUCACCCACCAUAAUACUUAUGCUAUCUUGAGAGAAGCCACUAGUGAAACCUAUGGCCCCGGGGUCUAUUCUCUAACAUAUAAAUUUCCGAUCUACUCUAUUUUGCAAUCUUUACUUUUCAAUCUAUAUCAUAAAAAUACCAAAAAUAUUUAUCUUAUCAUAUUAUCUCUAUCAGAUCUCACUUUUGCAAGUGGAUGUGAAGGGAUUGACAACCCCUUUACCGUGAAGGGAUCUCACUUGCGAGGUUCUUGUUUGUUUGUGUAGGCGCGUGGGACUUGGGAGGAGUCUCCUACUGGAUUGAUACUCUUGGUUCUCAAAACUGAGGGAAAUACUUACGCUACUGUGCUGCAUCACCCUUUCCUCUUCAAGGGAAAAACCAACGCAUGCUCAAGAGGUAGCAAGAAGGAUUUCUGGUGCCAUUGCCGGGGAGAUCUUCGCUCAAGUCAAGACAUACCAAGUAACCAUCACAAACUCAUCUCCCUCGCAUUGCAUUAUUUACCAUUUGCCUCUCGUUUUCCCCUCCCCCAUUUCACCCUUGCUGUUUUAUUCGCCCUCUCUUUUCUGUUUGCCUCUUUUCCGCUUGUCUCGUGUGUUAGUUUGUUUAUCUCUUUCAAAAGUUGCUAAAUUAAUGUAUGUUUCUAAAAAUAAGGGUGAAUCUUCUAGCAAGGAUAAUGCGGAUCUUAAAUCAAUAAGUGUUCAUUCCAACUUCUUAGCUCUUAUUAAGGAACCUUUUGCUAAAAAUGAAUAUCUUGAUUUCUUGCCUAAGAGUUUAAUCAUUACUAAAAAAAGAAAAUCACAAGGGUUAUAAAUGUUCUAUUGAAGAAUUGAAUGACAAAGAUGGAAAUACUUAGAUCUAUUCUCGCUUUUUUGCCUAGCUAGGGGCGUUAAAUGAUAGCGCUUGUUGGGAGGCAACCCAAUUUUAUUUUUGUUACUUGAUUUUUGUUCCUUUUUAGUAAUAAAUAAUUCAUCUAGCCUCUGUUUAGAUGUGGUUUUAUGUUUUAAUUAGUGUUUGUGCCACGUAGAACCUAUAGGAUCAUCUUGGGUGAAAGUUAAUUUGAUUCUGCUGAAAAACAGAAACUUUUGCGCCCGAGAAAAAAUCUAAUAAAUCACAGAAACGUGAUUUUGAGUUGAUUCUUUUUGCAGUAGAUCAAUAGUCAAAUUUCCUAGGACGUCCUAUUUUUGUAGGAGUUUUAGGGGUCCAGAAGUAUUCGAAAGUUACAGAUUGCUACAGACUGUUCUGUUUUUGACAGAUUCUGUUUUUCAUGUGUUGUUUGCUUAUUUUGAUGCAUCUAUGGCUAGUAUCGGGGGGUAUGAACCAUAGAGAAGUUGGAAUACAGUAGGCUUAAAACCAAUAUAAAUAAAGAAUGAGUUCAUUACAGUACCUUAAGUGGUGGUUUUUCUUUCUUGCACUAACGGAGUUCACGAAAUUUCCUGUUGAGUUUUGUGUUGUGAAGUUUUCAAGUUUUAGGUAAAGAUUUGAUGGACUACGAAAUAAGGAGUGGCAAGAGCCUAAGCUUGGGGAUGCCCAUGGCACCCCAAGAUGAUUCAAGGACAACCAAAAGGCUAAGCUUGGGGAUGCCCCGCAAGGCAUCCCCUCUUUCGUCUUCCUCUAUCGGUAACUUUACUUGGAGCUAUUUUUUUUACCACAUGAUAUGUGUUUUGCUUGGAGCGUCUUGUAUGAUAUGUGUCUUUGCUUAUUAGUUUACCACAUUAAUCCUUGCUGUACACACCUUUUGGGAGAGACAUACAUGAUUCAGAAUUUAUUAGAAUAUUCUAGGUGCUUCACUUAUAUAUUUUGAGCUAGACGAUUUUGCUCUAGUACUUCACUUAUAUCUUUUUAGAGGAAGGUGAUGGUUUUAUUUUGAAGAAAUUAUUGAUCUAUCAUGCUUCACUUAUAUUAUUUUGAGAGUCUUUUAGAACAGCAUGGUAUUUUCUAUGGUCAUAAAAUUGGUCCUAUAAUGAUGGGCAUCCAAGUUGGGUAUAAUAAAAACUAUCAUAGGAAGUGAAUUGAAUACUACGAUCAACUUGAUGCUUGACAAUUUUUUUGAGAUAUAAAUGUGGUAAUAUUAGGGUCAUGCUAGUUGGGUAAUUUUGAAUUUGAUGAAUACUAGUGUUAAAGUUUGUGAUUCCCGUAGCAUGCACGUAUGGUGAACUGUUAUGUGAUGAAGUUGGAGCAUGAUUUAUCAUUUGAUUGUCUUCCUUAUGUGUGGAGGUCGGGAUCGUGCGAUGGUUAACUCCUACCAACCCUUCCCCUAGGAGCAUGAGUGUAGUACUUUGUUUUGAUUACUUGUAGAUUUUUGCAAUAAGUAUAUGAAUUCUUCAUGACUAAUGUUGAGUCCAUGGAUUAUACACACUCUCAUCCUUCCACCAUUGCUAGCCUCUCUUGUGCCGCGCAACUUUCGCCGGUACCAUACACCCACCAUAUACCUUCCUCAAAACAGCCACCAUACCUACCUAUUAUGGCAUUUCGAUAGCCAUUCUGAGAUAUAUUGCCAUGCAACUUUCCACCGUUCCGUUUAUUAUGACACGCCCCAUCAUUGUCAUAUUCCUUUUGCAUGAUCAUGUAGUUGGCAUCAUAUUGGUGGCAAAGCCACCUUGAUAAUUCUCUCAUACAUGUCACUCUUGAUUCAUUGCAUAUCCCGGUACACCGUCAGAGGCAUUCACAUAGAGUCAUAUUUUGUUCUAAGUAUUGAGUUGUAAAUCAAUAAAAGUGUGAUGAUCUUCAUUAUUAGAGCAUUGACCCAAGUGAGGAAAGGAUGAUGAAGACUAUGAUUCCCCCACAAGUCGGGAUGAGACUUCGGACUUUAUAAAUAAAAAAAUAAAAGAGGCCAAAGAAGCCCAAAUAAUAAUAAUAAUAAUAAUAAUAAUAAUAAUAAUAAGAGGCCAAAGAAGCCCAACAAAAAAUGAGAGAAAAUGAGAGAAGGGACAAUGUUACUAUCCUUUUCGACACUUGUGCUUCAACGUAGCACCAUGAUCUUCAUGAUAGAGAGUCUCCUAUGUUGUCACUUUCAUAUACUAGUGGGAAUUUUUCAUUAUAGAACUUGGCUUGUAUAUUCCAAUGAUGGGCUUCCUCAAAAUGCCCUAGGUCUUUGUGAGCAAGCAAGUUGGAUACACACCCACUUAGUUUGUUUUUGAGCUUUCAUAUACUUAUAGCUCUAGUGCAUCCAUUGCAUGGCAAUCCCUACUCACUCACAUUGAUAUCUAUUAAUGGACAUCUCCGUAGCCCGUUGAUACGCCUAGUUGAUGUGAUACUAUCUUCUCUUUUUGUCUUCUCCACAACCACCAUUCUAUUCCACAUAUAAUGCUAUGUCCAUGGCUCACACUCAUGUAUUGCGUGAAAAUUGAAAAGUUUGAAAAUACUAAAGUAUCAAACAAUUGCUCGGCUAAAACCGGGGUUGUGCAUGAUUUAAAUAUUUUGUGUGAUGAAGAUAGAGCAUAGCCAGACUACAUGAUUUUGUAGGGACAACUUUCUUUGGCCAUGAUAUUUUGAGAAGACAUGAUUACUUUCUUAGUAUGCUUGAAGUAUUAUUACUCUUAUGUCAAUAUGAACUUUUAUCUUGAAUCAUUUUGAUCUGAACAUUCAUGCCACAAUAAAGAAAAUUACAUUGAGCAAUAUGCUAGGUAGCAUUCCACAUCAAAAAUUUUGUUUUUAUCAUUUACCUACUCGAGGACGAGUAGGAAUUAAGCUUGGGGAUGCUUGAUACGUCUCCAACAUAUCUAUAACUUUUGAUUGUUCCAUGCUAUUAUAUUACCUAUCUUGGAUGUUUAUGGGCUUUACUAUACACUUAUAUAUCAUUUUUGGGACUAACCUACUAACCGGAGGCCCAGCCCGAAUUAUUGUUUUUUUCCUAUUUCAGUGUUUCGCAGAAAAGGAAUAUCAAACGGAGUCCAAACGGAAUGAAACCUUCGGGAGCGAUCUUUUUGGAACAAAAGGAAUCCAAGAAACUUGGAGUGGAUGUCAAGAAGCAACAAGGCGGCCACGAGGGUGCCCAACGCACCCUAGGGGGGUGCCCCCUGCCUCAUGGCCCCCUCGUUCCUCCACCGACCUACUUCUUCCUCCUAUAUAUAUCUACAUACCCCGCGAACAUCCAGAAGCACCACGAAAAACUAUUUCCACCGCCGCAACCUUAUGUAUCCGCGAGAUCCCAUCUUGGAGCCUUUGCUGGUGCUUUGCUGAAGGGGGAAUCGACCACGGAGGGCCUCUACAUCACCACCAAGGCCUCUCUGAUGAGUUGUGAGUAGUUUAUCACAGACCUUCGGGUCCAUAGUUAUUAGCUAGAUGUCUUCUUCUCUCUCUUUGAAUCUCAAUACAAAGUUCUCCUCGAUCUUCUUGGAGAUCUAUUCGAUGUAACUCUUUUUGCAGUGUGUUUGUCGAGAUCCAAUGAAUUGUGGGCUUAUGAUCAAGUUUAUCUAUGAGAAAUAUUUGAAUCUCCUCUGAAUUCUUUUAUGUAUGAUUGGUUAUCUUUGCAAGUCUCUUUGAAUUGUCAGUUUGAUUUGGCCUACUAGAUUGAUCUUUCUUGCAAUGGGAGAAGUGCUUAGCUUUGGGUUCAAUCUUGCGGUGUCCUUUCCCAGUGAUAGCAGGGGCAACAAGGCACGUAUUGUAUUGUUGCCAUCGAGGAUAAAAAGAUGGGGUUUAUAUCAUAUUGUUUGAGUUUAUCCCUCUACAUCAUGUCAUCUUGCUUAAUAGUUACUCUGUUCUUAUGAACUUAAUACUCUAGAUGCAGGCAGGAGUCGGUCGAUGUGUGGAGUAAUAGUAGUAGAUGCAGAAUCGUUUCGUCUACUUGUUGUGGACGUGAUGCCUAUAUACAUGAUCAUGCCUAGAUAUUCUCAUAACUAUGCACUUUUCUAUCAAUUGCUCGACAAUAGUUUGUUCACCCAGCAUAAUACUUAUGCUAUCUUGAGAGAAUCCACUAGUGAAACCUAUGGCCCCCGGGUCUAUUCUCUAUCAUAUAAGUUUCCGAUCUACUUUAUUUUGCAAUCUUUACUUUUCAAUCUAUAUCAUAAAAAUACCAAAAAUAUUUAUCUUAUCAUAUUAUCUCUAUCAGAUCUCACUUUCGCAAGUGGCCAUGAAGGGAUUGACAACCCCUUUAUCGUGUUAGUUGCGAGGUUCUUGUUUGUUUGUGUAGGCGUGUGGGACUUGGGAGGAGUCUCCUGCUGGAUUGAUACCUUGGUUCUCAAAAUUGAGGGAAAUACUUACACUAUUUUGCUGCAUCACCCUCUCCUCUUCAAGGGAAAAACCAACGCAUGAUCAAGUGGUAGCAUUGCAAUGCACGUACAAUUAUGUAUUCAGAAAAUAUUUUUUUGCCUCGUCGCAGCACCCACUUAGAGAAGCGACUCGAAAGCCAUUCAUAAAUUUAGUAAGUUUAUCACAGGCAUAUCAUUUUAUUACAUACAACAGGUCAUCAACCCACAACGACAACGAGGAUACAUUAUAAAUACUAAAGUUUUCAUCACACAACAAAUAACAAGCAAUGAAAUGAACUUCAGCUCAACCAGUCUCGGCGUUGGAAACGCUUUCUUUCAACCAGAAGUGAUUCUCUAGGAAUUGCCAGCUACUGUCAAUCUCAAGACCAAUGGAGGACUGAUCAUCCAGGCUGAAGCGGCCUAUGUCAGGACGCAUAUUGUGAAGGCCACAGUAGGGAAGCAGAGCAAUGUUUGAGGUACAGAUACAUUUGCUUCUCAUAAAUGGUAGUAACGUUGUGUCAACAGCAGCUGGAUCGCCUUUCACCAUCAUUGGAUAGUUUUGUCCAAGGAAGAGCGAGUUUCCUUCAAGACUAUCAAUACUGAACCAGUGAGAAGGUGUUGGUGCUAGCACACUAGUAUCCAUCCCGAAUACCCUGCAACGGAUGUUGGAAUAGGUCCGGAGAGUGCGACCAUGCGAGACAACACCGGCUUCCUUAGUAUCAUCAGCAGUGCCCUGUACACAGACAAGAAGAGGUGUUCUAUUGGAAUAAGUUGCCAGGCGCCACUGAGUAUAUGGGUCCUCAUGCCCGUGAUCAUCAUCAUCGUCAUCUCCCCCUUGGUUAUAAAUUUUUUCAAGUAUAGGUGGUGGAAUGUUCAUAGGACCUUGGAAACACUAGAAUGUUAAUUAGUAAAGGGAAACUAGCUAACUCGCAUGCAUGUGGAUGAAACAAUUAUAAUUACGAUGGAAGACAAACGUACCGAAAGCAUAAGGAUUCCAUGCAAAAACAGUGCCACGAGUGGUGGCAGCAAACACAAGACCCUCGUAUUGAAUUGCAUCACAGUACACAUCCGUGUACAGAAAUUGAUUUUUGAGCAAUAUACAUCCAGUCGAACCAUGAAGGAAGGCAACAAGCUUGUCGAAGAUAGCAACAACUCCAUAGUUCAUGUAAUGCCAAGAGCGGUUGGGAACUCGACAAAUUGCUAUCUUGUGUAGAUGACAAUCACCAUGAUCGUAUUUGAACGUGCGUAGAAUACCGGUGUGCUCAACCUUUGGGCAGUCUGAGAUUUUUGGAAUUGGAACCCGGUGACGAGUGUACACAUUCACAAGUUCCCACUCGCAGUUGGACCCAAUAUAAACAACCCAAUCUCCAUUUGCGCCUGCCCAAGACUUACCCUCAAGCGACGACAUCUUAACAUCACACGUAUCAUUAUCAAGAGGCAUCAACUUGCACAAGGCGAGGCCUCUAUCGUCCGUGCGUCGGUCAGCAGGGUCACGACGAAGAAGAUAGGGGAGAUCAAACCGCUCCUGGACCCGUGGGUUCCUUGUAAUGAUGUUAUUAGUUGAGUAGAGAAUGGUCUUGAACGAACCUGCGAUGCUAGCCGAGCUGAUGACGUCGCACCGAUCAAUGAGUUCCUCCACCACGUCAUCUUUCAGAACGGGGCAAGAAUAACGAAGUCAUUUCCGGCUUGUUCCCUCCAUGGAGAAGAUGAUCAAACAAUGGAAGAAGGAAGGGUGAAGGCAAAUGAAGGAGGAGGAAGAGCGUGCGACAACAGUUCCAAAUCGAGAGGGAAAGGUGAAGAGGCGGUGGACGGUUGCCACGGUACACGAAGAGGCGCCCCGGCCUACAUAGACGUCCGUUAGGAAAUUGUAGUAACGACGACAACAAGCUUGUCGAAGAUAGCAACAACUUCAUAGUUCUUGUAAUCCCAAGAGCGGUUGGGAACUCGACAAUUUGCUAUCUUCCGUAGACGACAACCACCAUGAUCAUAUUUGAACAUACGUAGAUCAUCUGUGUGCUCAACCUCAGGGCACUCUGAGAUUUUUGGAAGUGGAAUCCGAUGACGAGUGUAGACAUUUACAAGUUCCCACUCGCAAUUGUACCCAAUAUAAACAACCCAAUCUCCAUUUGCGCUAGCCUAGGCCUUACCUUAAGUGAUGGCAUCUUGAUAUCACACGUAUCAUUAUCAAGUGGCAUCAACUUGCACAAGGCGAGUGAGGGAGUCCUGGAUUAGGGGGUCCUCGGACGGCCGGACUAUUAACAUGGGCCGGAUUGUUGGCCUAUGAAGAUACAAGACCGAAGACUUCUUCACGUGUUUGGAUGGGACUCUCCUUUGCGUGGAUGGCAAGCUUGGUGAUUCGGAUAUGUAGAUUCCUUUCUCUGUAACCAACUUUGUACAACCCUAGCCCCCUCCAAUGUCUAUAAACCGGAGGGUUUAGUCCGUAGAGGCAAUUACAAUCAUAAUCAUAUAGGCUAGACUUCUAGGGUUUAGCCAUUAUGAUCUCGUGGUAGAUCAACUCUUGUAAUACUCAUAUUCAUCAAGAUCAAUCAAGCAAGAAGUAGGGUAUUACCUCCAUAGAGAGGGCCCGAACCUGGGUAAACAUCAUGUCCCCCGUCUCCUAUUACCAUCGGCCUUAGACACACAGUUCGGGACCCCCUACCCGAGAUUCGCCGUGUUUUGACACCAAUAUUGGUGCUUUCAUUGAGAGUUUCACUGCGUCAUCACCAAAAGGUUUUGAUGGCUCCAUCAAUCAUCUACAACAAUGCAGUCCAGGGGGAGGUCUUUCUCCCCGGACAGAUCUUCGUUUUUGGUGGCUUCGCACUGCGGGCUAACUCGCUUGGCCAUCUAGAGCAGAUCGACAGCUACACCCCUAGCCAUCAGGUCAGGUUUGGAAGCUUGAAUUACGUGGCCGAUAUCCGCGACUUGAUCUUUGAUGGAUUCGAGCCCGUGACAGCCGCUCCCAGCCACCACGAUGAACAUGACUUAAAUCUGUCAUCGGACUGUGCUCAGGAGAUUGCGCCUGUAACUGCUCUGGCCCUAGAUCCGGAGGAGAUCGCGCCAUCCGAGGAUGGGAAGCUUAACCCCUUCAUGGAAGCCGCAGACUCAGCAACGUUGGAGCCGAACACAGAUCCGACCUUGAGAAGAGCCUGUGUCAUCGGAACCUCGGAGUUGUCUCCAGCCAUAGGUUCUGAACCGCGUACAUCCGUGCCCAUCGAAAUUGAUCGGGCGCCGAUCAUCGAGUUCAGCUUCGCGGACAUCUUCCGGCACUCGCCUUUAGGCGAUGUGCUAAGCUUGUUAAGAGCCCUCUCCUUAUCAGGAGACUCUCAGCCGAACUAUAUCUGGCUUGAAUGGGAAGCCGAUGACGGAGAAUUUCGCUUCCCACCCACCACCCAUUGCAUAUCCACUAUCGAAGACUUAACUGCCAUGCUUGACUAUGACUCUGAAGACAUCAACGGUAUGGACGACGAUGCCGGAGAGGAGCAGGAGCCACCGCCCAUAGGGCGCUGGACAACCACCUCCUCAUAUGACAUAUACAUGGUGGACACACCCAAAGAGAACAACGGCGACAAUAAAACUCUAGUUGAGGAUAAGCCUCCUGAGAUAUAGCCAAAAUGCUGGCGUCAGUGACGCCGCUCUAAACCACGCCGUGGAAAAAAUAGCAAUACCGGCACAAGAGAGGAUAACACUCCAGAUGAUGCCGAAGACAAUGAAGACCCCGUCGAGCCAACCUCCGAACAGGACGAACGGGAAGAUGGGCGAGUUAGCCCUGAUGAACAGGCCAUGAGCGAAGACUCGGUGGACAGUAACUACCUUCCGCUCUUCGAGGAUGAGGUGAGCCUCGGCGACGAAGAAUUUAUCGUGCCUGAGGAACCUCUCAAGCAGGAGCGCUUUAAGCGCCGGCUAAUAGCCAUUGCAAGGAGCCUGAAAAAGAAGCAGCAACAACUUCAAGCUGAUCAAGAUCUGCUCAACGAUAGAUGGACUGAUGUCCUGGUAGCCGAGGAAUACAACCUCGAGCGUCCAACCAAAAGUUACCUGAAGCGGAAAUUGCUGCCCAAUUCGAUGACAAGGCGCUGGAUCCUGUUGCACUAGCGGAUAAUGCGGCUGACCGACCACUGCGUGGCCGGGACAAAGCAGUCACUCAAGCCGAACACCAGCCCACACCCCCUCGCCGUAAGAACAGAAACACAACAGCUCAGGGAUACACAUAUGACAUGCAGCAUGACUUGGAAAACAAAGCAGGCCAGACGAGAUCGAUCUAUGGAUUGCGGGGGCGUGCCCUGAUGCGCGAGGAUGGCCACCCGGCCGGACGUGACAAAUAUAACCACAUCCGAGUCGAGAACCGCAGACGAACUCCAUCCGAGCUAUGCCACGAUUUGGCUCGGUAUAGAGGCGCGGCACACCCCCUAUGCUUCACCGAUGAAGUAAUGGAACAUGAAUUCCCGGAAGGGUUUAAACCCAUGAACAACGAAUCAUACGAUGGGACAACAGAUCCGGCGGUAUGGAUUGAGGAUUUUCUUAUCCAUAUUCAUAUGGCCCAUAGUGAUGAUCUUCACACCAUCAAAUACCUCCCAUUAAAACUCAAGGGACCAGCUCGGCACUGGUUGAACAGUCUGCCCGAAAAAUCUAUUGAAGCUGGGAGGACUUGGAAGAUGCCUUCCUUGACAACUUCCAAGGUACCUAUGUCCGACCUCCGGAUGCUGAUGAUUUAAGUCACAUAAUCCAAUAGCCCGGAGAGUCAGCCAUAAAAUUCUAGACUAGGUUCUUAACUAAAAAGAACCAGAUCGUCGACUGUCCGGAUGCUGAAGCCCUAGCGGCCUUUAAGCAAAGCAUCCGUGACGAAUGGCUUGCCCGACACCCCGACCAAGAAAAGCCAAAGUCCAUGGCAGCCCUUAUGACACUUAUUACCCGCUUCUGUGUGGGCGAAGAUAGCUGGCUAGCCCGUAGCAAUAACAAUGCACGCGAACCUGGCACAUCUGAAGCCAGAAAUCACAACGGCAAGCCCCGACACAACAGACACAAGCGUCGAAACAACGGUGACAGCACCGAAGACACGAUAGUCAGUGCCGGAUUCAGUGGAUCUAAGUCCGGUUAGCAGAAGAAGCCAUAUAAAAGAAAUAGUCCAGGCCUGUCGAGCUUGGACCGCAUACUCGAUCGUCCAUGCCAAAUCCAUGGCACGCCUGAUAAACCAACCAAUCAUACCAACAGAGUGUGUUGGGUUUUUAAGCAGGCCGGCAAGUUAAACUCCUAGAACAAGGAUAAGGGGUUGCACAACAAUGACGAUGACGAGGAGCCCCGGCCACCGAACACAGGGGGACAAAAUAAGUCCCCCCCCAAGUUAAAAUGGUGAACAUGAUAUAUGCUACCCACAUCCCCAAGAGGGAGCGCAAGCGCGCGCUCAGGGACGUCUACACAUGGAGCCCGUCGCCCCAAAAUUCAACCCAUGGUCGUCCUGUCUGAUCACCUUCGAUCGCAGGGACCAUCCGACCAGUAUCCGUCAUGGCGGUUCAGCUGCACUUGUCCUUGACCCAAUCAUUGACGGAUUCUAUCUUACGCGAGUCCUGAUGGACAGUGGCAGCAGCCUGAACCUGCUCCAUCUGGAUACAAUAUGCAAAAUUGGUAUCGAUCCGUCAAGGAUCAAGCCCACAGAAACCACCUUUAAAGGUGUCAUACCAGGUGUAGAGGCCUGCUGCAUGGGCUCAAUCACACUGGAGGUGGUCUUCGGAUCCUCGGAUAAUUUCCGAAGCGAAGAUUUGAUCUUUGAUAUCAUCCCUUUCCGCAACAGCUAUCAUGCCCUGCUCGGAUGAACCGCAUUCGCUCGAUUCAAUGCGGUACCACACUACGCUUAUCUCAAGCUCAAGAUGCCCGGACCACACGGUGUCAUAACUAUCAAUGGCAAUAUGAAACGCUCCCUUCGUACCGAGGAGCACACCGCGUCCCUUGCAGCAGAAACACAGAGCGGCCUUUUCAGGCAGAGCCUUAAUUCGGCAGCCAAGCUCCCGGACACUAUCAAAUGAGUCCGGACUACUCCGCAGCAGGACAUUCCAGUUCGUCAAGAGCUCUACUAGCAAUUCGGCCUCCAUCCCACGCCCAACGAAAUAGUGGCAUUCGUUCCGCACGUACAUAACUACGCACUUAAAAUACCAUGGGCAUAGAUGGAGGCGCAGCUAGAACGUGGUCCACAGUAUGGCUCAACCGUUCCUGGACCCACAUACUUUACGUUUUCUUUUUCUUUUCAGGUUUCUUAUCUGCCUAGGCCUUUCCUGGUGACCUGAUCGUUGGACCUAUCAAGGGACGGAUACACUAAGACAACGAGAAGCUCAGACGUAUAAGGGAAUCUCCAGGUGGUAUCUUUUCAUGUUCGUUAUACCUCGUUUAAGGGAUCCGCACGCAGCUCUCCCUUGGUGGUGGCAUGUUACAUAGCCAUGUUUCUUAUUGCACUACUGGUACAAUUAUGCUUGGAUGUAUUAAUCAAAAUACAAUGGAAAAUAGUUUGCGGAUCAAUUUUUGUAGCAUUAGCAUAUUUACGUGAUUGUUCCUUUUCUUGAUAUUCUUAGCAAUUGCACCCGUACACUCUGGUACACUUUAAUUCGCCAGGGGCUUCAUCAUGCCCCAUAAUACGACAAUAAAGUCUGAACACUUUUACGGUCGUUCGGCACCCCGAAUUGUAGCAUUAUAUGCAUCGGUUCUGAAUCAUGUCUUUGGUCAAUAGUUGGGUUGCCCGGCUCCUAUGCUUGCUAUCCUACGUUCCGCUAUAUCGGCUAGGGUAGUAAAGGGAGAACUACUGCGAUUGUGUCCUGGUUCUUCCAGAUGAGCACCUUAGUAGAGAAAGCCGAAAAUUGACUGUCAUGAUGUGGCGAGAGCCGGUCAGCUGCUCGAGAGGUUACAAAUCCUUAGAGAUUUUUUCCACAUUAAGCGAUGAAUCGGUUUUUAUCCGAUCAGGUGUUUACAUUACCCUAAGUUCAGAUUUACGAACACUAGGGGCCACACCUAAAUUUUUAUUGUCAAACUCCUAUGGCUAAGUGAGGGUGAUAAAGCCACAUAGUCCGAUUGCCUGGUUCGUUGCACUGAACACCUCCUUUAAGGACCAAUACCUGGAGUAAAGAGUGUUUAGAUUUAUCAUGAACACCCUCGUACUUCCUACAUGGAGGCUGAAGCCGAUGACUGGCCAACUCUUAGAUUUAAUAAAAACGGCCGCACAGGAGGUAAAAUUUUAAAUAACAAGUGAGGGAGUUCCGGACUAGCGGGUGUCCGGAUAGCCGAACUAUCAUGAUCGUCCGGACUCCAAGACUAUGAAGAUACAAGAUUGAAGACUUCGUCCCGUGUCCGGAUGGGACUUUCCUUGGCGUGGAAGGCAAGCUUGGCGAUACGGAUAUGUAGAUCUCCUACCAUUGUAACCGACUCUGUGUAACCCUUGCCCUCUCCAGUGUCUAUAUAAACCGGAUGGCUUUAGUCCAUAGGACGAACAACAAUCAUACCAUAGGCUAGCUUCUAGGGUUUAGCCUCCUUGAUCUCGUGGUAGAUCUACUCUUGUAACACACAUCAUCAAUAUUAAUCAAGCAAGACGUAGGGUUUUACCUCCAUCAAGAGGGCCCGAACCUGGGUAAAACAUCGUGUCCCUUGUCUCCUAUUACCAUCCGCCUAGACGCACAGUUCGGGACCCCCUACCCGAGAUCCGCCGGUUUUGACACCGACAUUGGUGCUUUCACUGAGAGUUCCUCUGUGUCGUCACCGAUAGGCUCGAUGGCUUCUUCGGCCAUCAUCUACGAUGCAGUCCAGGGUGAGACCUUUCCCCCCGGACAGAUCUUCGUAUUCGGCGGCUUUGCACUGCGGGCCAAUUCGCUUGGCCAUCUGGAGCAGAUCGAAAGCUACGCCCCUGGCCGUCAGGUCAGAUUUGGAAGUUUGAACUUCACGGCUGACAUCCGCGGGGACUUGAUCCUCGAUGGAUUCGAGCCACAGCCGAGCGUGCCGCACUGUCACGGCGAGCAUGAUUUAGCUCUUCAGCCGGACAGUACCCUGGAGGCCGCACUCGAACCCGCUCCGAUCUUCAAUUCGGAGCCGGCUGCGCAGAUCGAGGACGGAUUGCUAGACACCGCCUCGGGGGCUGCAACCUCUAUGGUGAUAGAGCCAAACACUGACUUUGUCCCUCAUAAAGCUCAUGACUCCGAGGUUCCGGACUCCUCGCCGGACUCCGAACCUCCCGCGCCCCCUCCGAUCGAAUCCGAUUGGGCGCCGAUCAUGGAGUUCACCGCAGCGGACAUCUUUCAACGCUCACCUUUCAGCGACAUCUUGAGUUCGCUAAAAUAUCUCUCGUUAUCAGGAGAGCCCUGGCCGGACUGCGGCCAGGACAGUUGGGAUGCGGACGAUGAAGAAAUUCAAAGCCCACCCACCACCCAAUUAGUAGCCACUGUCGACGAACUAACCGACAUGCUAAACUAUGACUCCGAAGACAUCGACGGUAUGGACGACGAUGCCGGAGACGACCAAGAACCAGCGCCUACCGGGCACGGGAAAGCCACCCCAACUCACGACAUAUACAUGGUGGAUACACCAAAAGGAAGCGAUAAUGAGGAAAAACGGGAUGUGGCGAAGGACAACUCCCCCAACAAACAACCAAAACAGCGACGCAAGCGCCGCCCGAAGACCGGCCUCGAUAAAAACGGCACCCAUACGGACCCGGCCCUAGAGCAGGGCGAAGCAGUGGACGACGCACAUGUCACCAAGCAGCCAGCUGGACAUGAACUGGACAAGCAACCCAUCCCCGGCGAAGACGAUCUCACAUCACCAGAGCAUAUGAAUCUUCAUAAAAGGCUCGUCGCCACUGCAAGAAGUUCGAAGAAGCAAAAGCGGAAGCUCAAAACAGUGGAGGACGCACUCAGAAUGAGAUGGAGCAAAGUACUCAACAGCGCAGAUAAACAUGGCGCUAGUCACCAGAAAAAGAGCUACCCGAAGCGCAAGCUGUUGCCCGAAUUUGACGAGGAGGCCUUAGAGUCCCCGCAGUCAAAAAAGAAAGAAGCCGCCUGGCCGGAUAGACGACCAGAUGAUAGGCCAAGAGUAACAAGGGGCGCCGCACACAAGCCGACACACGAUCAGCAUAAAGAUCAUCGGAAAAAGGAUGACCCAGUCAGAUCUAUUUAUGGGCCAAAAAAAGAAGACUCCAGGAAGCAACAUAACCCGCCGAGCAUUUGAAGACAACGGCACACCCAAAUACAGGGGCGCCGCACACCCACUAUGUUUCACCGACGAGGUACUGGAUCAUGGAUUUCCAGCGGGAUUCAAACCCGUAAACAUAGAGGCAUAUGACGGAACAACAGACCCCGGAGUCUGGAUUGAGGAUUACAUCCUACACAUACAUAUGGCCAAAGGAGACGAUCUCCAUGCCAUAAAAUACCUACCCCUCAAGCUCAAAGGGCCAGCUCGGCAUUGGCUUAAAAGCCUCCCAGAAAAUACCAUUGGAAGUUGGGAAGAGCUUGAGGAUGCGUUUCGAGCAAAUUUUCAGGGGACCUAUGUCCGCCCUCCGGAUGCAGACGAUUUAAGUCACAUAACUCAACAGCCCGGAGAGUCAGCACGCAAAUUCUAGAACAGGUUCCUCACUAAAAAGAACCAAAUAGUCGACUGUCCGGACGCGAAAGCCUUAGCAGCCUUUAAACACAACGUCCGAGAUGAAUGGCUUGCCAGACACCUCGGCCAGGAAAAACCAAGAACAAUGGCCGCACUAACAAGCCUCAUGACCCGCUUUUGCGCGGGGGAAGACAGCUGGCUGGCUAGAUGCAGCACCAGCGACCCGAGUACAUCCGAAGUCAGGGAUGGAAAUGGGAAAUCAUGACGCAGAAAAGAUUAGCGCCGAAAUAAGGAAAAUGGCCCGAAUAGUACGACGGUCAACGCCGGAUUCAAAAGCUCUCGGCCGAACAACAAAACACUGCCCCUCAGGGACAACAGUGACGAGCUAUCCAACCUAAACAAGAUUCUGGAUAAAUUAUGUCAGAUACAUGGUACCUCCGGGAAGCCUGCAAACCAUACCCACAGAGAUUAUUGGGUCUUCAAACAGUCCGGCCGACUUAACGCCGAACACAAGGGGCUCGACACACCAAGCGAAAGUGACGAAACCCAAAAGCAGCACUCCGGAAAACAGAAGACUUUCCCACUAGAAGUCAAAGCAGUGAACUCACUUCAUGUGAUAACACAAAAAGACAGCGCGGCACCUGCAAUACUAGGACACCGCCCACAGAAUGGGGAUAGACCCUACCAAAAUUCGCCAUAGCAACACUUCCUUCAAAGGAGUGACGCCAGGCCUUUAAGCCAAUUAUACAGGCUCUGUACCACUAGAGGUUGUGUUCGGUUCAUCCAACAACCUCCGUCGCGAAAAGCUCACUCUCCAUCGCCCCAUUCAAUAGUAGCCCUUAAGCACUACUGGGCGCGCAACUUUCGCUAGCCCUAAGGCAAUACCACAAUACGCGUUUCUUACGCUUAAAAAUGCCCGAUCAACGUGGCAUAAUCUAAUUAAAAAGUUACUCCGAGUGUUCCUCGACCAUAGAGAACGUGAGACUGCCUCGACAGCCACACACUAAUCAGACCUUGCAGGUCAAAAGCCCCUAAAAAUAGGUCAUUCAGACCUCAGACAUGGUUAAGCGAGUCCGGCGUAACUAAACAAGGGGCUUCCCAGCCGCAUAUCCCCUUUAUAAGGGGCCGCGUAUCUAAAUGAUGAGAGCCAAUAAAGCUCAACUUUCUUCAUUCUAUUCUAUUUUAAUACAACAUCUGCACGAUAUUUCUUGGAAACUAAGUCCUUCUCUUUUACAGAUGAAGCACGUGCUACACCCGUCCAGGAUACAACACAACGGAGACACAGGCGCAGACGUGCAGCAGGGACCCGUUGCAAGGAUUCUUUUCAGAUUAAGACCCUGUGUAAACCUUUCUUAAUGUCUCUUGUUGAUACACAUCCCCCGGUUUCCCACCAUAGCCGAGGAGGAGGCUGGCGUUUUGGCAUCGGCCACAUCAUAAGUUCUCGCCUGUACCUGGACACUAGGGGCUUAGGGCAUUGUUCUGCCCGGUAUCAUAAACACCGAACACCUCAGGGAGUGUUCGGCGUCUCGAGUUAGGCCUUAUAUGCAUCAGCUCCGAAUCAUGUCUUUGGUCAAAUGUUGGGUUUGCCCGGCUCCUGUGUUUUGCUGCCUUACAUUCUGUAUCAUCGGCUAACGCGGCACCAGGAGAACUACUGCGAUUGUGCCCCGGUUCGGCCGGGUGAGCACCUUAGUAGAGAAAGCCGAAAACUGACUGUCAUGAUAUAGCGAGAGACUGGUCAACCACUCGAUCGACCAUUGGAAUGUUUAGAAUUCCUCCGCUUUAACGAAGGACCGCUUCCCGGUCAGGCACAUACGCGCCCCGAAGUUCGGAGAAGAGCGGUGCCGCUAGGGGCUAUAUAGUAGCCCCACAUUCGAGCUCCUAUGGCUAAGUGAAAGUGAUAAAGCAUUAUAGUCUGGUUGCCUAGUUUGCUACGCUAUCACCUCCCUAAAAGGACCAAGACGUUGGAUUAAGUGUGAAAAAGCGCUUUUCUUUUUGCAAACACCCCCGCACCAUGUGCGUGGGGGCUGAAGCCAAAGACUUCAACUUUCAGGUUAUUCAUACAUAUACGGCCACACAGGAGAUAGUUCAAUACUUGAACGCACAAGUAUAAAAAGCUAUUGCAUUAUAAAUAUGAUCUCACAAAUUAUACACGUCAUUUGAACAUGACAUCUUUCGAGCACUGCGAUUCUAUUAAAUGAGCGCCCUGCAGGACUUCCUCAAAAUAGUGCUCGGCGGGUAAUCGGCUCUUGUCCGAACCCCGGGAUGCAAUAGCGGUGGCAUCCAUGUCCGCCCAGUAUGUCUUCACAUGGGCGAGAGCCAUCCGUGCACCUUCUAUGCAUGCUGACCGCUUCAUUGCCUUGAUAUGCGGCACCGCCCCAAGGAAUUGCUGCAACAAGCCAAAAUAACUCUUCGGCUUGGGCCUUUUCGGCCACAGAUGAGUGACCACAUCCGUCAUGGAAAGUCCGGACAACCUAUUCAGCUCAGCCCACCCAGCCAGCCGAUCAGUCAACGGAAGUGGACGCUCCGGACUAUGGAAUUGAGACCAGUAAAGUUCUUCCAUUUCAUGAUCCUUCUGGCUUCGGAAGUGCACGACUGCAUCCGCCGCACUCGCCGCCAAAUCCAGAUAAGGAUCCUCCACACCACACAACUGGCCCAGCUGAGCAUACUUCGGAUCCGUGAACUUCCUACGUAGAAGAAAGGGCUUUCCAGCCGCAAUGUCUCCGGCCUGACGCAGUUCCUCCUUCAUAGCCCGCAUCUCACUCCGGGCAUCCUUGACUUCAGCGCCGGCCUUCUUCAGGCCCUCUUGCUCCACUCGGCGUUCUCCUUCAAGAACCUCACAACGGUCGGUAGCAUCUUUUAAUUUCAAGGCCAUUCCGGCCAACUCUUCCCUGCUUCGGCAGUGAGCAGCCUUUUCGGCUUUUAGCUCUUCUGUUGCCUUCAAGGCAGCCACAUCACUUAUCCUGGAUUGCUCCUUGGCCCGAGCAAGCUCUGCCCGAAGGUCUUCCACAGCAGUAGCACCAUCUGCAUCAAGCAUACAAAUUGUAAGGAAUGGGCGUCAGCUCCCUUACUAGGCGACCGCGGAGCAACCACAUACCUUGUGACUCAUCAAGUCGUUUAUUGAUUAGCGAGAUGUCCGCAUCCGCAACGUCGAGUUGCCUCUUAAGCUCGGCAACUCCAUCAGUCUGGCUGGCCACCGAACGUCCCGCCACCUAUGCAGGAAAGGCGGCAAUCUAUAACUGAGAUUAUGAUCCUCGGAACGCUGCCGUUUUCGAUAGCAUACCAUGUCUCAGGGGCUACUAUCUAUACAGGGCGCACUUCAUGUGCAAAAACUAUCAAAAGGUAUGUCCUUUUUUGCGUACCUCAAAUCCCGUCAGCAAACUUCCGACGGCCUCAGACAACCCGCUUUCGGCGGACGAGAUCCUCUCAAUCACCAUACUCAUUAAUGUGCGGUGAUCUUCUAAGAUGGACGCCCUCUUAAGCAAAUCCUGUAGCUCCACCGGCCGUACUCCAAUGGGUGCCGAACUCUCUGGCCCCGCCGGACUUGGGGAGACCCUCUGUCACGACACCUCAGGGUCGUCCGCCCCGCAUGAUGGGGUGGCAGAUGGAGGCGUUUCGCUCUCCAUCAUCUCCGGACGAAGGUCUCCCGAAGAUGAGUUGUGCUGAGACGGGCUGAGAUCCGAACUACAGGAUGAAAAGUUCGGUUACCCUUAGAAAUUAAGCAGGGGUGUCCACUAUUACAAAAUUCCCCCUUUUACUUACGGCUCGCUAGAGGGCUGAUUCCUCCGAGGAGACAGUACGUCCAGGGCUCUUCCCGGCACAGGGCCUUCCGGUACAGAUUUCUUUCCCCGCUUUGAGGCCUUGGCCUCCGGGUCUUCGGAAGCGGUCCUCUUCUCCCCCUGGAAGGAGGGACUCUCGAUUCCUCCCUUACUGAAAGCCUCCGUGGCUGAGGUGGUAGUUCCCCUGUGCCCUUCUUCGCCCUCCUCCGAAGGUGCAACCUCUAACAUUUUGAUUAACACGGGAUCCUGCGUGGUCUCAGGGAGGGGGCCGGACACCGUAUCAGUUUUGCUUGCGCUAUCCACUCCUGUCCAAGGGAUAGCUGGUUAAAAGGCAAACCCAUAGUAAAUGAAUGGACGAUGUGUCCAGACACAGGGCUACUUACUUGAGUAUCCGGGCGAUUGCAGCUUAGGCCAGCAUCCUCGGUCAAUUCCGGACGCAUCUCUUGCGAUCCGAAGAACAGUUUGUACAUGUCCGUGGGUGUCAAGCCCAUGAAGUGUUGCAGAGCUCGUGGCCCCUCCGGAUUAAAUUCCCACAGGCGGAGGGGGCGACGUUUGCAGGGCAGUAGGCGCCGGAUCAACAUAACCUGUACCACUACGGCCAGGUUGAUCUCCCUUUCUUGGAGGCCUCGAAUCCGGUCCUGCAACAGGGGAAUGUCCUUGGACGGCCCCCAGUCACGCCCCUUGUUGACCCAUGAUGUCAGCCGCUGUGGAGGGCCCGAGCGGAAGACGGGCAGCAGCCUCUGCCUGCUGCCCCUAGGAGCGGUGAUAUAGAACCACUCCUGUUGCCACAAGCCGAGCUCCUCUUGAAAAGAGCCCUCGGGCCAUGGAGCAUCGGCCCUCUUACUUAUAACCGCCCCGUCGCACUCUGCCUGACGCCCCUCAAUCAUCUUCGGCUCCAUGUUGUAGGUUUUGAGCCACAAGCGGAAGUGAGGGGUAGUGCGGAGGAAGGCUUCGCAGACGACAAUGAAUGAUGAGAUGUGGAGGAUGGACUCCGGAGCCAAGUCAUGGAAUUCCAGCCCAUAGUAAAACAUGAGCCCCCUCGUGAAGGGAUCCGUCGGGAAGCCUAAACCCCGACAGAGGUGAGACACGAACACGACGCUCUCACCAAGCUCGGGAGUAGGAAUAACUUGCCCUCGGGCAGGCAGCCUAUGCGAAAUCUCGUAGGUUAAGUACCUGGCGUCUCUUAGCUUUAGCACGUCCUCUUCCGUGACGGAGGAGGGCAUCCACCGGCCUCGUAGGUCGGGGCCGGACAUUAUCGAAGAUCGAAGGUACCCGAAUAUGGAGACCUGGGUGUUGGAACUCGGGGCGAGGGGCAGAUUCGAUAGAGGAUUGAAGGAAAAGAACGGGCCUUGGUCUCAUUAUAAAGAGGAAGAAUACCAAGACCCGCCCCCGUGACCGUUUGGAACCCGCCUUUGAUGGAGGGGGCGUGGCAACGGGCGCGGUUGGGUUACCCACGUCCGUAUUGAUGGGAAUCCCGGAAUAAGGGGAACACGAUCUCUGCUUCGACAAGACGUGCCAAGGAAACCGCCUCGCUAAACGCGCUGAGGUGAUACAAUAAAAACAAUUCGAGUAAAGGCUUGGUAAUGGUGUGACGUCACGCCACAAAAUACGUCAGCAGAUUGAACUUGUGUAAUAUUAUUCUCUCUACGGUGGUACGUGGAAUUUAUUUUUGCAGAGCCGGACACUAUCCUGGUGUUCACAAUCUUCUAUAAAUUAUUCAGAGGAAGAACCCGCCUUGCAAUGCUGAAGACAACAUGCGCGCUGGACUCGUCGUCAUUGAAGCCUGGUUCAGGGGCUACUGAGGGAGUUCCGGACUAGGGGGUGUCCGGAUAGCCGAACUAUCAUGAUCGGCCGGACUCCAAGACUAUGAAGAUACAAGAUUGAAGACUUCAUCCCGUGUCCGGAUGGGACUUUCCUUGGCGUGUAAGGCAAGCUUGGCGAUACAAAUAUGUAGAUCUCCUACCAUUGUAACCGACUCUGUGUAACCCUAGCCCUCUCCGGUGUCUAUAUAAACCAGAUGGCUUUAGUCCAUAGGACGAACAACAAUCAUACCAUAGGCUAGCUUCUAGGGUUUAGCCUCCUUGAUCUCGUGGUAGAUCUACUCUUGUAACACACAUCAUCAAUAUUAAUCAAGCAGGACGUAGGGUUUUACCUCCAUCAAGAGGGCCCGAACCUGGGUAAAACAUUGUGUCCCUUGUCUCCUGAUACCAUCUGCCUAGAUGCACAGUUCGGGACCCCCUACCCGAGAUCCGCCGGUUUUGACACCGACAACAAGCAUUAUAUUACAUAACGAUCUUGUAUCAUAGUACAGGACAAAAUAACAUGAGUGUAUUCAUGGAAAUAUGAUAUCCUUAGCACAUUGCUCUGCCACAAGGCGGGAUCCCUCCAAGACACUGUCAAAAUACAGUUCGGGUGUGCGGUGCUCCUUGUCCGCGGGCGGUCCCUCGGUCAUCAGCUUCAUGGCGUCCAUCUUCGCCCAAUGCAUCUUGGCGCGGGCGAAGGCCAUUCGCGCACCUUCAAUGCAGACCGACCGCUUGAUGGCGUCAAGCGAGGGCAGGCACUGACCAGCCACUUCACGAGUCCGACGUAGCUGCUAGGAAUGGCUUCGGCAGGCCAUAGCUGGAUUAUCAAAUCCUUCAUGGCUAGUUCGGCCGCCCUAUGCAGCUCGACCAGCUGUUUCAGCUGAUCGCUAAAGGGCACCGGAUGUUCUUGCGCAAGGUAUUGCGACCAAAACAGCUUCUCCGUAGAGCUCCCUUCUUCGGCUCGGUAGAAUUCUAUAGCGUCUGACAUGCUGCACGGCAGAUCCGCAAAUACCCCUCGAGAACUCCAAAUCCGGGUCAGUAAGAGGAACCUUUCCUUCACAUAUUUGCUCUACAUAAUAAAGGGCUUACCCACCGUGUUCUUCUUGGCCACCUGGAUUUCCUGGAGGGCGCCCUGGGCUUCUACUCGGGCAUCGUGUGCACUCUGGUGGGCCUUGGCAAGUUCGAACUCUUGAUCCAAAAUGUUGCGCUCCAAGGACUCGCACUUCUUGACGGCGUCCUGGAGCUCUUGCUGGACCUCACGCACCCGGUCCUCAUGCUUUUCGUGUGCGGCUUGUUCCUUGGCCGCUCUGUCCUCGGCCUCGGCCAGCGCCUUCUUGAGGGCCUCCACCUCGGUCAUUGCUCCUGAUAAAUAUCGUGACACUUUUAGUCAGAACAAAUCGUUCAUCCUUUCUGAAUUUAGAUAAGGUUAUUGCAUACCUUUAUUUUCCUCUAGCUGCUUCUUCACGCGGUUGAGCUCCUCCUCGGUCUGCUCCUGACUCUGCUUUAGUUCGGAGACCUCAAUAACAUUAGAGGUCGCAUCCAGCAACGACACCUGCAUUAUUCACAUAGACAUGUCAGGUUAGUCUCUUGCGAAAAUUAUUUGAUCCUCUGUUCGGCUUUUCUUUCCGAAUACCGAACAGAGUCUCAGGGGCUACUGUCUAUACUGUGACAUUUUCUUUAUAUAAUUGUACUGCUUACCUCAAAGCCUGUUAGAAGGCUAGUGUAGGCUUCGGUCAGCCCACUUUUCGCAGACUGGAUCCUCUCAGUUACCGCACCCAUAAGGGUACAGUGUUCCUCGACAAUGGAAGUGCCUUGCAGCGCUUCCAGCAAAGUAUCCGGUGCCUCCAGAUGGACGGAGGUCACCAGCGGCCUAGGCGCAGCUCCUUCUAUUGAAAGAGGUUGCUUGCCUGAUUCUGGAGCCGUAUGGGUCUCUGAAAUGGUAUUCGGCAGGGGGCCAAAUUUGAUAUAGCCCCCGUUGUCAGCAUCCAUGGGGGGUUUGCUCCCCCAUGUGUCCGGCAGCCGAGGCUUCACCCUCUGGCACCUCCUGGAUGGUCUCCUGCAUCUCUCCCUCGUCUGGGAUCUUUUGGGACAACACCUCGGUGUAAUCCACGGCCUUGAGAGAGGACGCCGCCGAAAGGGUCCCGCUGUCCAUCACCUCUGGGUCUAGCAAAUUCUCCAAAGAUAAGGACCGCUCGAGGUUAGUCCGGGCCGGACUAUGAAUGCAUGAUACGGCAAAUUAAAAACUAUGAAGUAGUGAGGCCGGAUAUAUGAAAGUGUUUGGGUUUUGGAAUACUCACAAUUUGGCCAGGGGCUUGACCCUGGGGUUCCAUUCCGGGCUGCUGUCGGUGGCCGCGGAGGAGUUGUCUGGAAGGGAGGCUUUCCCCUUCUUGGAUGCUUCGGCCUCCAACCGCGUGGAGGCCGUCUUUUUCUUUCUCCCCCUGCAGGAGGGGAAUGGCUUUCUUCUUUUUCUUCCUCCUCUUCCCCGUCAUCUUCGACGGCGGAGGAGUGAGCCUCAGCGUCUUCGGACAUCACGUCCGAAGUGCCCUUGUGAUGGAGACCACUCCUGGCCCCCUUGGCCUUCUUCUUGGCCUUCUUCUCCGGCGCUUGAUAGGGCACCGGAACCAACAUCUUUGUGUGAAGCGAGAUUUCAGGGUCUUCAGGCAGCGAGGCCGGACAGUAAUUUCGCUCCGCCUUCUUUGUCCAGGCCUGAAAAAGUUAAUAGGGAGGCUAAAGCAUCUUCCUCGACUAUGCAAGUAAAGGAAACACCUUGAAAACAUGAAAACACUUACCAGACUAUCAGGGCGGGCCAAAUCAUGCCCAUGGUCCUCGGCGGUGUCCGACAUCGUCUCAUUGGCCUUGAAGAGCACUUUCCAAAUGUCUUCGUGCAUAGUGCUGAAGAACUCCAGCAGGGUCUGGUGCUUGGCCGCUUCAUACUCCCAUAAAUGGCAAGUCCGGCGCUGGCACGGAAGGAUCCGGCGAAUCAACAUCACCUGGAUCACGUUGACGAGCUUGAUAUUCUUGUUUAUCAUGCUCUAUAUGUGCACUUGAAGCAUUGUCAGCUUGUCCACCGAGGACCAGUCCAGGCCCUUCUCUUGCCAGGAGGUGAGCCGCAUUGGGACCCCAGACCGGAAUGUGGGAGCCGCAGCCCAGGUGGUGCCGCAUGGCUCUAUGACAUAGAACCACUUUGAUUGCCACCCUUUGACCGUCUCCACGAAGGAGCCUUCGGGCCAUUUGAUGUUGGGCAUCUUGCCCACAAUGGCACCUCCGCACUCUGCUUGUUGACCGCUCACCACCUUCGGCUUCACAUUGAUGGUUUUCAACCAUAGCCAGAAGUGAGGUGGGAUGUGGAGGAAGGCCUCACACACGACAAUAAAUGCCGAGAUGUUGAGGAUGGAGUUGGGGGCCAGAUCGUGGAAGUCCAGCCCAUAGUAGAACAUGAGUCCGCAGACGAACGGGUGGAGAGGGAAUCCCAGCCUGCGGACGAAGUGGGAGAUGAACACCACCCUCUCAUGGAGCUCGGGGGUGGGUACGAUCUGUCCCGCAGCCGUAAGCCGAUGGGCGAUCUCCUUGGCCAAGUACCUGGCCUCCCGGAGCUUCGCAAUGUCCUUCUCCUUGAGGGAGGAGGCCAUCCACUUGCCCUGCGCUCCGGAUCCGGACAUGGCUGGAGUGCUUUCUAGGGGCUGAGAAGAUGAGAACUUGGGCGCUGGAGCUCGGUAAUGAGGGAGGCUUAGAGAGGUAGAAGGCAUGGGUGAAAAGGGGCGAACCCUUAUCUCCUUAUAAAGGCAGCGAAUAUCAGGCGCCUCCUCACUAGCCUUAAAACUCACCUAUUCCCCAAAGGCCGUGUAGAUGGCACGGUUAGAUUACCCAUGCCUGUAUUGAUUAGGAUCCCACGAUAAGGGGACACAAUCUCUGCUUUUGACAAGACGUGCCUAUGAAACCGCAUCUUGAAAUAUGGAGUGACAGGCUAAAAAAUGGUUCGAAUAAAGACUUGGCGGCGACGUGAUGUCACGCUACACAAAAGUUGUCAGUGGAUUGGACUCGUGAGAAUAUUAUAUUCUCUAUGGUUGUGUGUGGAAUUUGUUGCAGGUCGAACACUAUUUUUGUUCGGAGACAAUUUUGGAGUAUUCGGAGGAGGAACCCGCCUUGCAAUGCCGAAGACAAUCUGCGUGCCGGACACCUCAUCAUUGAAGCCUGGUUCAGGGGCUACUAAGGGAGUCCUAGAUUAGGGGGUCCUCAGACGGCCAGACUAUUAACAUGGGCCAGACUGUUGUGCUAUGAAGAUACAAGACCGAAGACUUCUUCCCGUGUCCGGAUGGGACUCUCCUUUGCGUGGAUGGCAAGCUUGGUGAUUCGGAUAUGUAGAUUCCUUUCUCUGUAACCGACUUUGUACAACCCUAGCCCCCUCCGAUGUCUGUAUAAACCGGAGGGUUUAGUCCAUAGAGGCAAUUACAAUCAUAAUCAUAUAGGCUAGACUUCUAGGGUUUAGCCAUUACGAUCUCAUGGUAGAUCAACUCUUGUAAUACUCAUAUUCAUCAAGAUCAAUCAAGUAGGAAGUAGGGUAUUACCUCCAUAGAGAGGGCCCGAACCUGGGUAAACAUCUUGUCCCCCCGUCUCCUGUUACAAUCGACCUUAGACGCACAAUUCAGGACCCCCUACCGGAGAUCCGCCGGUUUUGACACCAACAGCGAGGCCUCCAUCGUCCACGGCCAUGUGAACAGGCUUAUAGCGAAGAAGAUAAGGGAGAUCAAACUACUCCUGGACCCUACGAAGAGGCGCCUCGGCCUACAUAGACAUCCGUUCGGAAAUUGUACAAAAGGACUCACCGUCGUCUCACUGACAUGUUGGAACGGGACCACAUGUCAACAAAACAUGGUGUGUCAUUUCUUGUGCAAAAUGCGAUCUAGCCGCGUUGGACCGAAGUGCCACAUUAUUUCUCGACUUUAUUUUUUUAAUGGCGCGCUGUUCAAUUUUGAAGCACGACUAACUGGUACUAUAUACAGAGAAAAUAUAAACUACUCUACCACUACUCCACCUCUAGUACUAGUAGUAUAAAAAAUAUAUAUAGGCUGGAGCUUUAGCGCUUUCUAGCCAAGGUCUGCACACUUGCUUCUCACACUAUCACCCUCUCUCCAGAUCUAAAAAGACAGCCUCUCUCUCCCUCCUCACCGGUGGUCACAGAUCCACCAGGGAAGAAAAAUACGUGCAACAUUGACACACUCAUCGUCGGCGAGCGAGGUCACGCACUGACGACAAGGUCGUCCUCUCAGACCUAGUGCCCGCGCAGGAUGGCCUUCGUCCCCAAGCUCGCUACCGUAGUGUGUGCGGAGGACGACGACCACGAGCGAAUCCACUUCCCGCCGACACUCAGGUAUGCUACCUCUUUUCUAACCAUACCCUUGUUCCAUCACCCCAUCUGCCACGUUGUUGCAUGUGGAUCUUUUUCCACUCCACCAUCUUCCCAAUUUGCUAUCCUCUACCAUGCUGGUCACACAAAUGAAAACCUUAAUUUGCACUAUUAAAGGAAACCCUACUUCAUGCAGACUAAUCCAUGUCUGGGUUAAAUAAGGAAAGGAAGGGAGACUGUACUGUCCAAGAGAGUAGGCAUCAAACCCGCUUCUAGGUUGAAAAGGGGAAAAUCAGUAGCUAAGGUACGAGUCUCGUGUCUCUUGGUUGAAGAAGGGUAGAAAGUCAUGACAACGCAAUAAAGAAUGACCAGGUCGAUCGAUUUGUUGUCCUCACAUAGGAAAAAGGUGGCUAAAGAGAACAAAAAUCGGACGUAAUCCACAUAUGUUGCCUAGAUAUUUGUUGCUCUGGGCAACCAUACCUCCCUCACCACUCUAUGCAUCCAUGGAGGUACAUCGUACUGGUGCGCCCACUAUUCGAAUGGGCCUCCCAUGCUCUUAUUGCCACUUUUUUGCUGUUAGUAUAAUGCCAGCGGUCAAGUCAAGCAAUGCUACUGCUAAAGUGAUGCCACAUUUAACUAAUGCCUCACUCAGUCUAAUGCCACCGAUAAAUUUAAGCAAUGUCAUUUAAUCUCACUAGAUUACUUCAGGGUUAGCUAUUGAUUUUGGAUGUAUUAAAGAUUUUUCAGCCAAGGCAUUCUAAUGUUGUUGCACAGCCAGUAUACCAAUGAUGAAUCUUGUUACUACCUUCAGAUUUUUACACUGUUAAUGUUUAUAGAUUUCAUACCUCACUUUCCUGAGAUAAGUCAAUUUUUUUGUACAGUGUCAAGAGGAAAGGUCAAGAGUGGGCACCUCCUCCUCCGGC
RNAcentral lists this long non-coding RNA (53103 nucleotides) under Triticum aestivum (bread wheat). RNAcentral describes it as "long non-coding RNA (TAES_LNC002299)". The record is from RNAcentral. Lineage: Eukaryota; Viridiplantae; Streptophyta; Magnoliopsida; Poales; Poaceae.